UUUUUUUUUUUUUUUUUUUGUAAAUAAAAGUUUGAUUAUAUCCUGUUCAGAUCACCGUCGCGAGUUAGGACAUAUGAUAUGCUUUCGGAAUCAUAGAUCGCUUGCAGGAUUUUCUUUCAGCUCAACAGUGGGAUUCGAAUACGCAACUUUUUAUUGUUAGAAUGUGAACCGUCUUUAUUAAUUGAUUGAGCCAACUUAAUUCAACUCUUCCACAAAUUAUGAGACUCCAAAUACUUACAACUUCCCUUUUGUUUUAUGUAAACGUGGUUAUGAAGUGAAACUAGCUACAAGAGUUCAGAUGAAUGGACCCAAAAUCUAACCACUCCAGCGACAAGAUUGUCAUGGCUAAGUGAUCCAUCAUUUUUCAAGUACUAGUAUUUAAAGACUUCUGCUGUCAAGGUCAUUGAACGGAUGAUGACUAAACCGCAUCAUCUAGCCAAGGUUGCAAUAGCGCAAUUACGCAUGAUAGCUGUCGAAGGAAAUCGCUCAACUUCCUUAGAGAUUUGGCUUUUAAGGAUACUACUGGCGUUUUAAUUGGUUCGCUCUUUUCUUUUGUGACGCCAAUAACAGACACAGAUAUGACUUUUCCGGCCACCACAUUAAACACAUUGUCAAGAAUUGCCUGCCUCUCGCCGGCCACUACUUAAUGCUGCCUGCCCUGUUUGUCGCCAUUUUCCUGCAUGCCUUCGUCCCACUAUUUAGUACAGUACCUACUAUUGUCAUCACCAUUUCCUGUAUGCGCAUAAGUUUGUUCACCUGAAGACUCUUUUUUUUUUUGGGGGGGGGGGGGGGGGGGGGGGGGGGGGAGAGUGGGAUGUAGAUAUAGCAUGAGUUCUUGGAGCAGUUAAAGAAGAAUAAAAAUUUUUCGAAGCAAAUCCGACUUUGACCUCAAAAUAAAAGUAGAAAAAAAAAAAAAAGCUCCAACAGUCUGAUUUCAAUUAUGAGUACAUGUUUGAUGACAUGGCACUGAAGUAUGGAGAAGUCCAGAAAUAUACUCUAUAAUUUUGAGUGACGAAGAAAAACACGAAUUUGUUUGGACAGGGUAUUAUUUGGAAUAAUAACUGUAGUACUUUUUAUGAUGUGAUGUACGUGAGAUGAAAAGGUAGUUGAAAAUAGAAAAAAAAAUGAGUUGAAAAAUAUGUUUACGAUGCAAGCGAAAUAUUGAUAUUUAGGAUAAAUUUACUAUCCAAACAAAUUUGUAUUGAAUCGGAGCUUCAAUUAUUGGUCGAACGUAUGAUGGCGUUUGAAUGGAAUAAUAACCAAUGAUCAGUACUACUACAUGAUAUCUGUUAAACAGUAGUAGCUGUUAUCUAGUCAAAACACGGCAAUAUAUAUGUAUCAUAAAAACAAAAAAGAAACAUUUUGAUGCAUGAACGAUUCCGCGGGAUGCCAAAUGAAUUUGACAGAUUAACUGCAAAUGGAACAUGGGGUGCGCUGCUGCAUGUUCCGCUGCUUGGGUGGGAUUAUGGAUUUUUAUGCUUGUAUCUGCUCAGCUGCCUCGCUACACCAUCCAUGCAUUGCAACUUGAAUGUCUGUCCCACGCACCAUAUUGUGUCUUGAGAAUCAUUAAACAAGUCUUAUUGAUUUAAUUAGCUUAAUUCAUUGAAAACCAAACCUUAUCGCCUUAAUUUGCAAUUACCAUUGCAUUGAUUGACAAAUAAUAUAGUAUUUCUCUUUGAUUCGAGUUAUUAAUUAGUGCAAAACUUCUCCAUCUUCCUCCUCCUUUGCCCCUCUUUUUUCACGAGUUCUGUCGAUAGUAAUAAUAUACUUCUAGCUUGUGCGACUUGAUCAAUUUUCAUGUAUGUUAUCGCGAUAUUACAAUUCAGCAUUAUAAUUCAAUUAGUUGUCAAAUGGAUACGUCUUAAUCAAUUCAAUAACUUAAUUAAUACUUUCAGUACUUAAUCUCAAAUUUUCAGAUUUCAAUCUUUUCAAAUGGACCCUAAUUGAAGAUGAUUAAAAUAAUAAUAGAUUGACAGUGAUGCUUGAGAGAUAUGAAGAAGAAAGCUAGGAGGGAGAGGAGGUUGGAACUUGGAAGGAAGCUGCAAGAUCACGUGGAUAAAGUAAAGAGAGUGCAUGAGGGUUGCCUGAAUUCCAUGAGGCCCGAGAAUGGCCAACUAACCAAUCUUAAUCACCCCAAUACUAUGUUCCAAGAAGCUCUCUCUAGCCUCUGCCCCAUCGGUCCACCAUAAUUGCCACAUGAUGUUCCCACCACUCUUUCCCCACCAAAUCCAACAUGGGCUGCCUCCUCCUUCCCAACUUCUCCUCCUGCCUCCCCCCCACCCCAAGUCAAUUCAGUAAACACACGAUGCUACUAAUUGACAGCAGUGAUAAAUAUUUAGUCAAAAUUACCUCCGAAGUGAUGGCUAAAGAAAGUGAUUGAAAAGCAGAGUCUGGUCAGAUUCUUGCUUCGUCAUACAAGAAAUAAUUAAGCUAUUCACUCCUCUCUUCUGCUAUCAUGUCAAAGAAAAUGCAUCACAACAACAAUAAUGGAGCCGGUACAUGGCGUGACGAUGGUGUUCCUUGAAGUUUUAGCUAAACUGCUGCAUAAGUCGGGGUGAUUCCGUCUUAAUUCUUAUGACUUUCAAUCACAUGACAGCGAAGGAAGAGCAUGAAAGGUUCAAAGGUCUAAAGCUUCACCUACUAUUGGGAAUUCCUUAACUUAUGUCGGUGAAGAAGCUUAAUAAUUAAGUAUGGUACCCCUAGUCCGGAUUUGCUGUUAUGAGCAAAAAAGCAGGCAUAUGAUGAGUGAGUGGAGUCUAAUUUGUACCCAACAAGUACAAAAUCAAAAUUAAGCAGCAUCCUUAAUGGUACAGAUGAGUCUCAGGCACGCACAAACACCAGUGGUAGUAGUACUACUACACUACUAUUUUCGUUUGAAAAGUGCCACUAGACCAUGAUCACCUUUUGCUUCUUCUCUCACGAGUGACAUUGCCAAAAAUAACCAAAAAUAUAAAAAAUUGAUGCAGAAGAUAGAGAAAGAUUAAUUUAAAACGAGCUUUUAGCUGAGCUAAAAUCUUGUUUGACAUGUGAUGCGAAAUGCUCCUUUUUUUUUUUUAACACAGGAAGUAUCUCAGUUUUAUCAGAUUAAUCUCUUUGUACCUGUGCACCCUGUCCCUCAAGAAUAUACAAAUGACAGAGAGGUAACACGAGCACACGAUCUCGAAAUCUAAUUAGAGCACUCCAAAAUCGUCCGAGCCAACCCUAAGGUGACUAGAAAUACUAGUAUGGUAUAGAAUAAAAAAUAGAGCGGGCAAUCGGAAGGAAGUCCAUUGCAAAUUCAGACAAUCAAUCAAGUUGCCAGAUCAUCGGAAUCAGAAGUCACCCAGUGGGCACGUGCCAAGUUGGUUGGCGGGCGCACGCCACCUCGUCAUCAUCAAUUCCUAGGCGAUUCAUAUGAAUCGCAUAAUCAAUGGGCUCCUUCGGGAUCUCAACUUUCAUUAAUUACUGUCAUUAGCCAGCAGUAACGCCUUCUUGAACUCUGGAUGAUUAUCAGCACCUAAUUCUAGUUUACAACAGAAUGAGCAGGCAACUGAUUAUUAUUUUUUUCCUUUUGAUAAUAUGUAUAGGGUCUUGAUUCUUGAAUUACUUAUAAUACGGCCUGGUCUAACUCUAACCUUAGUUUAAUACAAGUAUUCUAGUACUACUAUUACUUACGCCUGCUCCCACAUGCAGCCCAUUGGCUACGAACACAUCCCAAAGCUGUUGCAAGAUCUCCCAGAUUCUCAACCCAAUGUGUGGCAUUUGGCAUAUGAGUAGAGUGGGUAUAUGCUUUGAUUGAUGGACAGUUACUUGCAUGGUUCUUUCUCUCUUUCUUUCUGAUUAGUGACAGGAGCAUGUGAAAUCUGAGAAUGCAGAGAGAGAGAGAGAGAGAGAGAGAUGGAGCGUCCAAUGGAUUUGGAGGAAUAUGAGGUCACUGUGAGGUUGGCGUCAGUACCUACUACCAGUCCUUUGCCCAACACCAACGCACACCAAGAUAGAUAAAGAAAUGAUUGCGAACGGACACAAUGAUGAUAUGGGAAUGACAAAGUCAUGGCCCAGUACACACAUACAACCCUGCUCUCUGACUUCUUUCCGUGCCCCCCUCUGAAUUACUAUUCGGUAAUCAGCUGAUAUUUGCAGUAAUUGUUGAGAAUGCAAAAACUUGUAAUUGGGAAUAGAAAUGUAGAUCGAGAUCGAGCCACCACGAAGAAAUCGAAUUAUACCAAUUGGCCAGAAAGGCCAAAUUAGCCAAAGUGGCCUCGUCGUCGUUCAUUCAAUUUGGCCGUGGUCUUAUCUCUCCAGCUGAAAUCAUCAACCUAUCCAAGUUAUGUUAUGGGAUAGGGUUGUUCACCAAUCAAGUCGCUCGCGAUCGAAUGAUCGAGGUCGAGUUAAUUAAGUCGAACACGAGUUCAAAAACAUUAAACUCAUUAACUCAUGAGCUCAAUUAUAUAUAUAUAUAUUUUUUAUUUUUUAUUUUAAUAAUAAAAUUACAUAUUAUAUAUAUCUAUAAUAUUUUAUUAUUUGUUAAAAAUUUAUUAUUUUAUUCAUUUUUAAAAAAUAAAAUAAUUAUAAUUUUUUUAUUUUUUAACCUCGAGCUCGAGUUUCAUAAAAUUAAUUGGAGGCUCGAUUCGAUUAGGCCAAAACUCGACUCGUUUGCACUCCUAUUCUGGAGACAUGUCUUCUAUAUUUAUUGUCAUCCCUGCCAAUAUAAUUAAUAUAACUGCAUUGCGUCUUUAUGAUUCUCAAUUAUAUUAAUUGGACUACUUUUAUCCGUUCGACAACUUCGCCUAACAUUACAAAUCAAGCACCGCUCAUAAUUGAAUUCCGACUAAAGGAAAAAAAACAAAAAGGGUCCUAAUAAUUGAGUAUCGCAGAGUCCACACACAAGUGCAACCAUGCCAUGCCUGUUGAUUUUUUAGGAAACGUAUUAGUAGAGCAUUUGAACACUCCUUGUACUUUAUAUAGGCUUUCAUUCCUAGUCUUUAUGGUAGGAGUAAUUGUUAUUCUUCUGGGGCCGCUCUACUACUGCCGCUACUGUGUACGGAGGAGAAAAUAGUGGGUUCAAGAGAAUACUUGAUUGUAUAGAAGCGACGAAUCAAUGUCUCUAUCGCUAUGUGAUUUCAAUCUUGGCCUGGAAUUCUGCUAUACCAUCACGGGCAUCCCAACAGCGCCUAGUUACAUGAAACCAUAAAACAAAUGGCAAAAAAAAAAAAGUUGCUUCCAUUAUAUUUUGAUUAAUGAAACAUCAAGGCACAAAAUUGUAGCAGUGUGGCACCAAAUGGACAUACUAGACAUGGAAAGAUACUUGGAAUUAAAAUGCUUUCACAAUACCCAAGUCAGACCGUGCACACACUUGCUGCAACAGAAAGCAAAUUUCAAUGGCUAACAACAUUGGUGCAUGAAGGUCAAGACUGGACACUUCUACUAGGACAUCCAGCAUUAAGAGCAAAAUCUUCAACCAUCACCAAAAUAUCAAAAUUAUGAAGCUGUAUGGCAAUAUCCAAAAAUUUCAAUACAACAAUAGAAGUUACAACACCAAUGGCUAAAUACCAAGAUCCACUACUUUCACUGCUACGCCUAAUUCUUGGGUAUGACCACCCAUAAGCAAAAACGUUCAGGUGGCGAGCUGGUAAAAAUUUUUGUUGACUAUGGAGCUCAAUUAAACUCUAUUGUGUGUUAUUGACAAAAAAAAAAAAAAAAAAAAAAUCUUCACCUUAUGCAAGUUUAUACCAUGGUUUCUCCCCUUAAAACAGAAAUCAAAUUAAUUGCCAAAACUCACUUGAGCAACACCAAAGGGCAGCUUCAUACGUAAGAAAAUGACAAAGGAUCAGUAUCUCUGAUAGAUUGCCCAGACAGCCUGUGGAGCACUCUGGAGUAGAAGCCCCAUAAGGAGCUAGUUUCAUCAAUAGCUUUUUGACCAAAUGGAUGCUGCUCAAUGUGCUUCGGUAUAUGUUCAGUUAGUGCCAAGCCUUCCAAAUAAACUCGAAGAUCACCUCCAGGUCCUGCAUUGUGUUGCAUAUUUCUCUAGUAAAUUUGAUAAGAAUAAAUAGGAUGGGGAGAAAAACCACAAAAAAGGCUAUAUCCAGAGACGAUUCAACAAACAUAGGGAAGAAAAACACAGAAACUUGGUGAAAGGUACAUACCUAGAGAAUUAUCACUCGUGUCUCUGUAGCAGUAAGAAUGAGGAAAUAUCCCAGUAUGAAUCUACCCAACAUGGUUAUAAAAAUUUAGUGCAAAACAAAGAAACUACAAAACUUGCAAUAACAUCAAAAUGGCAUCAGUGUCUCACAGGAUUGAGCAAGGCCUUGUAUGGAGAAUCAUCCACCAGUAAAGUAUUUGAUUCAUCAUAAUCUCCUUUCUCCCAAGGAAGAUCAGGGUAAUGUUUUUCCCAUAGCUUUCUCAACUCUUUGCAAACCAAUGGUUUAUGCCUAUUUUCUAGUGUUCUGAACCCUGUAUCAGUGCACUGGUACAUAUCCUGCAAUCACAUGAAAUCCCAGUUAAUGAGGUUCAAAAAGAAACCGCAAUCAAGGGUUCAACAGCAGCAUGAAAACAGAAUCAGCUUGUUGAAAGCUGUGAAAUCAGUAUACUGAUACGAAAUGCAAUACUUUCUCUUACAGGUAAACGCGAAUGCAUGUAUUUUCAUAGAAGUGUAGGCUAAGUUUCAAUUUUUUCAAUUCCAAUGAGAUCAGUGUUAUGCUGAGAUAAACUGAGUAAAUAUCCACAAAAAGCUUCUCUUUAAACUCUAUCAGCAAUAUCUAGGAAUCAUCACAAGACUGCACAAAUUAGAAGUAAAUAAAAGAUUAAAGUAAAACUAAAUGAGAUCACGAAAGUGGGCAACCUGUUAUCAUGACCGACUUUUAUCAUAUGUACCCUUGUAUAGCAGCUAGAUAAUGACUGACACAGUUGCUAACAAGCAGAACUACAAGUAAAAAUGAGGAAAGCUUAAGCAAGGCAUAACAGCAGAUUCUUGGGCCCAACUACAGACAGAAAAAAAGAGGCAAGGCUAUCACUUCUUAUUUAUUUUUUUGGAUUCUUGUUAUUUCCUUCUUAUUUCUUUAACUCAUUCUUUCUAGGUUGUUACACAAACUGUUCGUUUAUAUAACUUUCACUCUCCUCUACAGAUUUUUUUUCUUAAAAUUGACAAGCCGUGCGUGGGCUGAAAUUAAAACUUUGGCCUCAAGGAUCAAAACACCUCCCUUUACCAUAAACACAUCACAUUUCUUUAAAGUUAGACAUUUUUUGGGGUGAAACGAAACAGGCUGCAUUUAAAAAGGGCAAGGGCUCUUACCCAACAAAAUAGCAACUUAUGCUUCAGAUCUCCCAACAAGUAGUCAACCACUCUAUCAAUGAUCCUCCUGCAUAUUAUCCAUAAGUUAGUGCUCAGAAAAUAACCGGAAAAAGAUGCAUGUGGGAAGGGGGAGAAAACUUACUUAGACCUUGAGGACCAAAUUCCAACAUCAAAUCUCUCACAGCAAAACUUCAGAAAAUCAUAAUAAAAAGGUCUCUUAAAAACUGCAGUAGCAAAAGAGAGAGCUCGUCAGAUUUCAACCAAUCUUCUGCUCCUCUAUUUGGCUAAGGGAUGCUUUUUCUCGGCAGCAAAAAUAAUUCGUAAUUCUCACUUGCUCGUCCUGAGAUGUGUGUGUCUGCUUUACAGUCCAGUGGCGGAGGCAUGACUAUAUCUGCAAGUAGCCCAUUUAUAUCAAGAAUGAGGAGUUUUCUUCUUGAACAUACUGGUGAUCUUGCUGCAAUGUGGCGUGGAACAACCAGUACAUUGAGUCCUCCAUUGGCAACAUUGGAGAGAUAUUCUGCAUUGUUCGCACACUGUAAGGGAGGUAUUACUGAUUCUUUUGUCAUAGAAAUCCCAGGCCCUUGAUCUGUAGUCAUUAUUCGGUUUAUUGUACCAUUGGUUGGUUGAUUACAUGCAUCAGCCAAACUCAGAUUUGAUAAGAUAUCUGCGUGAUCCAUGCCUUGGGAUCCAUAAACACCAUCAACCUUUUUUGUCGCCUUCUGUUUCUUCUUUUUCUUUCUCAUGCACACAGACUUCUCCAAAGGAUCUGUGGUCGACACACUAUCUGGCUUUUGGGGUUCCUGAGUCAGUUUGGGAGUUGAAUCCACAUCCAAAUUGGCAUCUGGCUUACUACCCUCAGGUUUUGUGCUAAUGUGUCCAUCCACAUUCUGAUCCACUUGACCCGCGUUUUGUACUACUUCAAUAUCAGUAGCCUGUCUCUUCCCCCGUUUUCUCCUCCUCCUCCUCCUCUCCUUUUUGGAUGCUAGGUUGACUUCAGCAAGAGUUACACCUGAGCUUGUGUCCAUCGAGGCUGGCAUGAUCGUUGUGUCCACACAAUACAACACCUUUAAGAUUGUUUGUAGCCUCUGAUUCCCAAACAAAAGCCCGACUACCAAUUUAUCUGGUCGUGUGAUAUGGUAUGUUUACACAUCACAUCCACUUCCUGUUUUGCGCUGAAAAAGCACAAUAAUUUGAAUUCAAAAUCAAUCUAAAAUGAAAGAUAUGUGAUGAUUAUGUAUUCCAACAAGCUAAAGUACUCUCAAGGAUGAGACAAGGAACGAUAAUCAGAAGCAUAAAGAAAUAGAAACCAACUCUAUAACCACACUAGACAAUAUUGAAUAAGAAAGACCUCAAUAUCAGUAUUAAGACCUAGGCAGGAGCUGAAUUUUUGCAUGAAUCUUUCCCAAAAAAUUCCAGUUAGAUCUGGUGACAUGAUGUCCUUAAUAUUAACGUCGAAGACGACGCUAUCGAUAUCAAAUACACUAUUGAAUUGACAUAUUUUGGGCUAAAUAUAGACUACUCAAGGUUGACAGCGUCUAAAUUCACUGACGCAUGGAACACAACAAUUAGUAGCAGUAACGAAGAACUUGAUUUCACGUACUGAAUAAGAAUUUCAUCACAGGACAUAUUCACGUGAUGCAAUAAACCAGGAUUACGUAGUCAACAACAAAAUUACCAACACCCAGCUUUGACGAUUCUUUUCCAAUUGUAAAUCAGGCAAAUUUUAUAUAACGGUUGCAAAUUACAGAUAUAACAGGGGAUUCUAUAAUCUACACACACACACACACACGCAUGUCAAUUUAUAUACACGUUCGUAUGCAUACUUCAUUAUAGACGUAAACUUUGCACGUUGUAGCAGGUUUUGAGAAACGACCAAGAUGAAGCUCGGCUUUUUUAUCCGACUUCAGCCUGGAGAGAUUGUGUUAGGAAAUUACAGCAAAUCCAAAGUCUUUAGCAUCUGCUAUUACGAUUUACGAGUAUACAACAUAAGCCGCCGGAGUAAAUAGGAAGAAAGAGAAAGAAGAAGAGAUCGAUAUUGGUUUGAAACGGACCUGUGGGCUGGGUGCCCGGAAAAGUUGGGCGUCGGCGGCUUGGACUGUAGGGAUUCAGUUAUUCAACAAGAAGAUGGAGAAGCGCGUCGCAGGUUAGUACAACGUGUUUCGUACUCAAAAAUUUUAGAUUCCCUGGGUUGAGUGGGGUGGUUACGAAGGACAAAAAGGAAAAGAAGUUGGACUUGGACUAGAAGAGAUCAUGAGAAUGAACUGGGGAGGCAGUUAAGUAUAUUCCCAAUAGAAUAUGGACUGUCAGGGCCCCUAAGGUAAUAUGCCUAUUGUAUGCAGUACACAACACAAACAAACAAGUUUUACUUUUAUCAGAAAACAAACCAAACCAAACCGAAAAAAAAAAAAAGAAAAAAAAGAAAAGAUAGAUAGAAACAUUUUUUUCAUUGUUUCUACUUUACUCUUUUAUACUGUACUUCUAUAGUGUUUGGAUUGCAUUUUCUAAGAUUUUUUUUUGUAGAAAAAUUACUGUAACGAUUUGAUGUACGUGAGAAAAAAAAUGUAAUAGGGAAAUAUGAUCACGGAAAACGACGCAAUUUUUCCGCGAAAAAUGGCUUCACAACAACAACUUAUUUUUUACAUUAUCUAUUCUUUCUUUUUUUAAAAAAAAAAUUCUAGUGGUUGUACAAACUAAAUUUCAACCUAGUAAAAACUUAUUUGACUCAACGACUUGGGGAAAAAGACAAAUUGAUUUGAAGAAACAAUGAGACACGACCUAAUUAGGCUCAAUCUAAAAUUUGGAAGAGAGUUGAUGUAGGCCCAUUUCCCAAACAAGGCCGUGUUCUAAUUAGGCUCAAGCUUAAAUUUGACUUGAACAAGGCCACAUUAAGUUCUGGAAAAGGGUGCAGCCCAUAGCUUAUUGAAACCUGAUUCAAACAAACAUUCUCAAUUUUGUGGCGUAGAGACAUGUCAUGUUGAGAAACUGCAGAGUAAUAAUAAGGUGGAGCUUUGCAGAAGAAGUGCACGUGUUGAUCGUAAGGGUAAGCAAGAAGAGAAAAGAAAGAGAGGCUAAGCAAAGUUGCACGAGGAGUCCACUACGGGGAUGAACGUGAGAGAAUAAUGAACGGUGGCUGAUGCAUCUCUCUGUUUUGCUGAGUGGUCCACUCCUCCAGGAGGCGGAAGAGGGGAAAUCACCAAAAAUGGCGGUGGUCCAGUCCAUUCCUUUCCUCCCACCACCAUCUACCUGGAUCAUGCACCAGUUGAUCCUUUCAAAAAAAUGGGGAAAGGAAAAAGGAGACGAGAGGCUAGGGUUGGACCUCUGAUCAAAGAGAGAAAAGUGAUAUUAAAAAAAAAAAAAAAAAAAAAGGUCGACGACGUCGGUGCACACUGCACUUAGCUCACUGAUUAGCUGCUACCCCCAAAUAAAAUCAUGUUUGUUUGGGAAUCGUCUGAUUAAUCACUGAUUAGCAACAUAUAUAUCUCCAAUCACAACCGGCCGCGCCUGAGAAUUGCGAAGGUGCCACGUUUUCCCCUUGAAAAAGAGAAAAAAGUUUUCCUAGAUCAAGUGCAGGAAUCCAAGCACGGCCGUCGUGGAUGCACAUGAUUGAUGGCCUUUCUUAGCAGCAGUAAUUUAGUACUAAUAUCAAGUGAUGCGAGCAUAAUACUAAUAAAAGCCAUUGGGUGGACGCCCCGCCGCCCCCGCCCCAUUGCUGAGGAUCUCUGUCGGCCAUCCGGACGGAUUGAUUUAGAAAGAUUUGCUGCUAAACUAACCGAGAGCGGCGGAGUUCAAUUCGUGUACGGAGUUGCAACAUGUGGCACGGGCUCAAAACUCAAAAGUAGAGUAGCUCAUGCCAAUUGCCAAGCCAUCCUCUCGUAUCGUAUCAGCCUUUAAAGUAGGAAACUAAAAACCGCUACUGUCCACCUUCCCUCAAGUAUGCGUGUGGCAUGUGGCUUAAUUGGCUAGACGAGAAAAGUGUCGCCAGACUAGUCCAAUUUAUUGGAAGCAAAGAAACAUGGCCUCCAAAUUCAGGAAGCUUUAGCACUUUUCUAUACGGUGCCUCCCUCUCUAUACACUCCACCGUAUGGGACCAUGCCUGACGCGAUGUGCAUCCUGCGGGCCGCCUUCGCUUACCCGCUCCGAGGAAUAUUGUGCUUCCCAUCUCAAAGAGGGACCCAAAAAAAAUGAAAAAGACGGGGAGGCCGGGGUUGGUGGCGGCGGCACAUUGAUUGGGUCGACUUGCUUGUUUAUUGGCCAUCCCAAAGUUACCACUUCCUCUGGGCUCAGAAAAAAAAAAGUUGCCGCUUCCUCUUUGUGGGCUACGCUAGUAUGUGUUCCUCUUAUGAAAAAUGGCUUUGAUAAUUUGUUACGGUUUUGACAUACAUCAAGGUGGUAUGUGUUCUAAACAUUUUAAAAAAAGGUAGUAUGUGUUCUCCUAUUCAAUAUCCAUUAAAAGUUAAUGAAUCAUGAAAAAUACGUGUCACUCACAUUGAGUGCAACAAAAUUUCUAAAUCCUUGUAUUUUACUUCUUUUCUUCCGUCCCAUUCUGAUAGUCUUAUUUUUUUUCUCACAUAAUUUAACGUCAUAGUAUAAUAUCCAAAAAGAAUUACAGAAUCUCUCGAGAUCAUAAAAUUGAGGUGCAUGCAUGGACCACCGUGCUGGUAUUCUGUACCAGUACCUCAUGUCCUGGGCCUGUGUUUGUUUGAUCCCAUUUCCCAACUCCUACCUCAUACUUGAUGCUUCAUCUUAUGGGACCCCACAACUUUUGGAACAAAAAAAUUAACAAAAGUUAAAUUGAACAAUUUAAGGAAAAAGAUUAAGUACACCAUAGACGUACUCGGUACUUGUACUUGUACGGUUGGUACUGAACGAGGACCAACAGGAAAAUCUUUUUUUUUUUUCGGAGACGACAACAGUUAUAUAAUCCAAUUUAUUUUACACUAUUAAGGGGGAGGGAGCGGAUCUAAAGAAAUCCAUAAAUUAUGCGUGUUUGUCCAUAAAUUAUACUCCUUAAAAUUUAUUAAUUGUUAAUUGAUUUAUAGUACUUUGUCAUUCAUUGGAUAUGUAGCACAAAGGGCAAAUCUCGUACAAAAUUCUAAUUUCAGUUCCUAAAAUAAUAUUUUAAUCAUUUGGACUAAAUUUGCAAAGGAUUAGUAACCUCAGGGGAGGUCAGUGUAAUUUUUCAAACCACAAGGGGAGGUCAGUGCAAAUGUCAGAAACCUCAGGGGAGGUUUCUGCAAUUAUCCCUUAUCUUUAUGCCGGUUGACCUGCAAAUCUCACACAAGUAAUUCAAAAGAGAAAUAAUCUCCUUCCUCCCGCCAACCACAAACCACCAGAAUUAUGACAUUAUUGUUAUCGGACUAUCCUCCUGCUACAACAAAAGUAAAUUAGAAAAGCGCACCAAUUAAUUAUGUUAUCUUAACCAACAACAACAUUCCAUUGCAUUUGCAUUCAAGUUUCGCCAACUUAUUUUCAAUUUUCCGAAGAUCGUACGGAACAGGAAUACCAUACUGUCAAUUCAAUAUAUAUAUAUAUGUAAAUAUUAUCUGCACUCUUAUUAUUUAUUUUAUCAUAUAAUCUAAUAAAUAAAAAUUAUAUCAUUAAAAUGAUAAUACGAGUGUGAUUAACGAAAAUGAGAUUGCAAAUAAUAUUUUUCAAAAUAUAUAAAUUAAUUGUAAAAGUAAGUAAACUGGAUUGAUGGUGCAGUACUAUCAACUAUGGUUAUACUUGUAGCUAAUGCCAUUUUAGAUAUUGCCGAAAGUUUCCGUUACCAAACCAAAUCACUCCACCCCCCCCCCCCCAGCUCCCAACUCUUCGGACGUGGUCAAUAUCGGUUCCUUCUACUUCAACGUCAAAUUAUCCUUUUGACCAACUCCUCCCUCCCUAGUCCCUUUCUUUUCCAAAACUUUUUUAUUCUAAUGGUAUGUUUUUGGUAAGAUGUAAAAUAUUUUAUGUUGAAAUUAUUUUAUAGGAAAAGAUUUGCAUUUACGGUGUUUGGUUGCAAUUUGAAGCUUUGCUUCUAUCAUUAAAAUGUCAAUGACCAAUCGCCGCCACCACUGUUGUUCCCUGCCACCACCGUGUUGGAGAAGGAAAAAUCAAGUUGUUAAAAAGAAGAAAAUUCCAUUUACAUCGAAAGUUUUUCGAUAAUGAAAACAUUGAUUAGUUUGUAACGAGUGAAGAUUCAGCAAAUUACCUGACACGCUUUUGGGGUCUUUCGCGUCGUCAUCUGGAUUGAAUGUUCUUCUAUCAACAAAUGACAAGAGUUUCAACUUUAUCAACGGAUGCAUUGUUUUGGAAAACAACUUCAAAUCCUCAUUUAAGGAUGCUGAUUUACAUCGAAAUGAGGAAAAUAAUUUCUUGCGUAAAAUAUUUUCACCAGUUCUAAGACAACCAAACACCAGAAAUUGUGAAAAAAUAUUUUUCGGAAAAAUAUUUCCGGUCCAAACAAACACACCCUAGGCCUAGAAUCUUUUCAAAGAUAGAAAAUUCUAAAGCCAUUACAAUUCAACAUUCAACAACCACGGUGCAUCAGGAGUAUAUUUAUUGACCGGAAUAGGAAAGAACUUGUUUAGCAGAUACAAAAUGACCAACAUCACGUCCCAAUCCCAAAUACUAAUAGCUUUUGCCCACCUCACACCUUUUUUUCAUUUUUUUAAUAGAAGUAAUGUGAGAAUUUCAUAAACCCCACUCGCCCCGCUCCUCCACUUUCCCUACUGCUACUGCCUAGCGACUCCUUAUCCCCCGCCCCCGCCACCGUCCAGCAGAAUCACAUUUAUUCAUAACCUUCCCGAUUAAUGAUACUUACUUAUAUCUAUAUCUAUACCUGUAUCAUCUCAAGUGAACAUUUCCCAUCACAGAAGUACUACUAUUAUUCAAAAAAAGGGGAAAAAAAUUUUAUUUGCUGCAUGUGAUCAAUUGCUGAAAGAGCUGCUAAUGGGGUUGUGUUUUUCGCGGAGGGCGACGGUGAGGAAGAAGCAGUCGAGACGGCUGACUAACCAGUCGUCGUCAUCGGCUGGAAAUGGAGGGAGUAAUAGGUGGUCCAGGAUUCGGUCCACUAAGAAAGAGGAACCCAUCAUCCACGAGCGAGCUUUGGCUGCCGCGAUCCUCUUGCAACAGGAGUUGCAGAACUCCGGCGCCGCCGCCGCCGCGCCUUUUGAUCGGUCAACUUCUUUGAGGUAUCCCAACGGAGGAAGCGCUAAAAGGAAUCAGACCUUGCCUAGGAGUUCCAGCUCCAGAGCCCGCUCCCUUACUGAUCCUUUACUGCACCCUCAACAGCUGCUCAAUCAGGUACUCCUCAUAAUAAAUCAUCAUACAUGAAAUCCUCCCUCCCCCCCCCCCUCUUCUUUUUUCCUUCAUAGUAAUUUCUUCAUCAUGAACUUCCAAUAUUGUUUCUAACUUUCCCAAUUGGAAGGUAACUGAUUGAGGUGAUCCUUAAAUUAGUCGAGGACUUUGUUAUUUUGGCCGUUUCUUUUCAUCACCUUUCAUAUUCUUCCUCUUCUUCUUUGCAAACAAAUUACAAUCGCAUUCGAGAUAUGAGGCUCGUAUGACUAUUGUAUUCGUAUUAAUGUUCCAUUUGCAAUCCUGGAAUAACACUUUAGGACCUGACCUGAUUAAAAUCAGCGAUCAAAUUCAGGCCAACGACUAAAGCUUUGGUCUUAUAUUUGCAUCAAUGGAAAAAAAAAAGGUUUAUGAUCAUACACAUACGAAAAUUACACAGCGGCUGGUAGUGGUGGUUGCCUGGAAUAUUUGACAUUUCUUUUUUUUUUUUUUUCAAUCACAUACUUGUAGAAUUUUGUUAGUAUUUAAAAAUUUUAUAUAUUCGUUCAUGCUAAAAUUUUUGGCAUGUGGACAAAAAUGUCUUUUUCAUUGUCCUGUCUCCCCCAGGUACUUCUAUAUGUUGCUUCUUAUGGGCAAAUGUAAAAGACUAACAGUUUUGUAGUAUAUCCUUGCAUUGUAAAGAUGCCUGAUUAUGAUUCUAGAACUACAAGCAUAGAUGGGCACAUAGAAGAUAUUCCUAUUAACAAGCUGGAGUUAUUUACUGCACUUUUUUUUUGUGCAUAUUUAACUACCAAGGUAAGACAAUUGUUCCUGGAGUAAAUACUUUGUUGAGGUACUUUUCAUGGUAGCCAAAAGUGUAUCCGGUGAAAGUAUAUUAUGGCCUGAAAAAUUGAGAACAGUUUCAAAGUAUAAUUUUGCACCCUAACAAGCUAUCUCCUAAAGGUUUUCUAUUUGUCGACUAGAAUUUCCCUCAAAGGAUGGUUUUAUGGUGCUUUAUCCUUGACUUCUUUCCCAGUUGUUCAAAUUUGGCAUCUAUGGAAUUGGAAAACAAACUUUUGAUAUCCAAAACUACUGCCUAUGCACGAGGAUGUUAAUUCAGGAUUCAAGAAUUUUUUUUUUCAUUUUUUAAUUUUUUUUUUCUGGUUUCAGUUUGUAAUCUAUGUUGGGGUAAUGUUGCACAGCAUACUUCUUAAUCCUUUUUUAUUUCUUAUUUUUUUAAACUCGUAUAAAAGCUAGAUAUGCUGAUGGCUGGAAAAGAUCCGCAUUCCCCCCCCCCCCGGGGCGGAUUCUGUAUGCACUCUCGGUCAAUGCUUAUGUUUAUUCUAUUGCAUCAUUCUUAACUUGUUUUCCCUUUGCCAGGAUGUAAAGCUUGAGGGUCUUGAGACAAACCAUUUUGUCCUUGUUCAUGGUGGUGGUUUUGGGGCAUGGUGUUGGUACAAAAGCAUAGCUCUUUUAGAAGAAGCUGGAUUUAAAGUUACUGCAAUAGAUUUGACUGGUUCGGGAGUUCAUUCAUUUGACACAAAUUGUAUCACAAGUCUUUCACAGUACGUGAAGCCACUAUGUGACUUCCUUGAAAAGCUUGCAGAUGGGGAGAAGGUCAUUUUUCAGUUCCAUCAUUUGAUCUUUCCUGUCAAGCUCAACUUUUGUUUGGCUGCUUUUUGUAAUUUUUUUUAUACUAGAGCUACAAUGAUUCUUUAAUAGAAAAGAAGAGUGAAUGCCUGAAUCCCUCUGUCCAGUGCUCACUAGCUAUUGUGGGUUAGCUUGACACUUGAGCUUCAGCCCUAGUUUUGUGUUAUACCUACACAAUUCAUCUGCCAUAUUGACUGCUAACUUCCUCUGCAGAAUUGUUUGAACUUGUAAUGGAGUGAACUAUAUUCAAGUGCCAUGCUAAUGUUGUCUGAUGCAACAAAGCAUAAUAACAAACUUGAAAAGUUAGUCUUUUUUUACACAUUUGACCCCACGUGCAGGUAAUUUUGGUAGCACAUGAUUUUGGCGGUGCGUGUUUAUCAUAUUCUAUGGAGCUAUACCCCUCUAAAGUUUCAAAAGCUGUUUUUAUAGCUGCAGCAAUGUUGACUAGCGGCCAAAGUACCCUUGACAUGUUCUCGCAGAAGGUUUGUUCUUCCUCCCACCAUACAUGGAUUCUAUUUUUAAUUUUUUUUCAGGAACUCUUAGCUCAGUUAAUUAUUGCAGUACUGUAUGAAGUGUGGAUGUGGUUGUCAUAGAAACCCCCCCCCCCCUUGGGGGCUCACACACAGACACUGACAGCACAAUUUCUGAAGAAUGAUUUUCAUUCUAUCACCAUCUAGUAGUCUUAAUUGUGGAUUUUAUGCACUGUGUAUCUUAGAUAUCUACUUGACAUGCUGAAUUUGCUCUUAAUCUGCCCCCCCUUUUUUUUGGGGGGGGUGGAGGAGCGGUGUGUGGUGGUGUGGGGGGGGUAUAUUCUCACAGGCAAACUAUGGGAAAAAAGGGGACCAUUGAUAUUUGUGAGGGAAAAUGCAAUACGAUUUUCAACUACAGAGAUGGGUUGUUGCUUUUAAACAAACAAAUCCAAGUGGAAAGAUGUAUGGCACUUUUGAGAAUUAGGCAUUUCUAGAGCCAUACUGUGCUUAUGCUUCUCAGUAGCAAGUUGCAUUAUCUAUAAGCAGCUCUUGGAUUCUGGAACAGACGUGCAUUAGCAGCUAUCAAUGUCCUCAGAUAUGAGUUUAUGUGGCUAUCUUGGAUGUAAUCCUUAUAAUUAGCUUAAAAAACUCAUGCUGCAGAGGCUCUACUGGAAAUAAUGAACUCUUGAAUUAAAAAUAAGCUGUCGUUCUUAAAAUUUCUCAUAUUAUGUAUUUCAGUGCUGGUGUUCACUCAACUGUGUGCUUACUGAUUACAACGUUUCUGGGGUGCUACUGAAUUUCUGUAACUUUUGCAGACAGAUUCAAAUGAUCUAAUGCGACAGGCACAAAUAUUUCUCUAUGCCAAUGGGAAUGGUCACCCUCCAACCGCUAUUGAUCUGGAUAAGUCUCUCUUAAGGGAUUUAUUGUUCAACCAGAGUCCAUCUAAGGUAGUGUGCUCUAUACAUGGUACAGAUUUUCUUGUAAUAGAUGGCCCUGAAGGGGGAUGAGUCCUGAUAUUCAGGAAUGUUAUUUACAAUUUGCACAAAAUUGAAAUUUUUGAAUGGGAAUCUGUGGCAAUUCGCUUCUAGUAGCUUUUGACGUAGUGGGUUAAAUCAUUGUCCAGCUUACCAUGCCAAUUGGAUGGUUAGAUCAUGCUUAGGAUGACGGAUGCUCGAGUGUGCUUGCCUAGUUUAACUUUAUGGCUGUAUAAGGGAUCGUCAUGUUUCCAAUUUGCUUGGUUACUCUUGCAUGCCUCUUGCUUUAUAUCUUUGCUAAGAUGGCCGUGUUUAUGCAUGUAUGCUCUUGCUCAUGCUCGUUCUGUGGUUCUGUUCAUUUGCCAGGAUGUUGCUUUAGCAUCUGUCUCCAUGAGGCCGAUCCCCUUCUUGCCAGUUUUGGAGAAGCUGUGUCUUUCUGACGCCAAGUAUGGUACUGUUAGGCGGUUUUAUAUUGAAACUCCAGAUGACAAUGCCAUACCCAUCUCUGUGCAGGAGAGUAUGGUAAGCAAAAGUCCCCCAGAGAAGGUUUUUCGUCUAAAAGGUGCUGACCACUCACCUUUCUUCUCGAAGCCUCAAGCCCUACACAAGCUGUUGGUAGAGAUUUCAAAGAUCCCAUGAGCAUUUUUCUUUGCAUUCCCUAGAGUCCAACUGACAUGACCUGAGAAUUGGCACACCUUAUGAAAUUUGCCUCCAGACUUUCAGACAGACUACAAGCUGCACCAGACACUCUGUUCCGGAGUGAGAUAGUAAUAAAACGGUCAAUUUAUCUGUCUGUUUCUCUAAGCAAGUGUGAAGGCAAUGAAUAAAUUAUGAGAUGGGUGGCAUUUAAAAUUAUGCUGUGUGGAAUGGAAUCACUGGAUGUAGAGAGAGAGCGAGGGCUCUAGAUUUUUAUGGAGGUAAGGUGGGGAGCGGAGAAGAGGAGGCCACUACUUGUGGUUGAACAUCUUCGCCUGCAAUUGGGUUUCUAUUUCUUCCGCUUGCAAUGUCAAUCCGCUGCGGGGUUUGGCGAACUGCUUUUAAGUGCUGAUCUGUUUCAAGAAUCGAAAGGGAGUGAAACGAAAAAGGAGCAUUUGCAAUUUUUGGACGCAAUCUGAUUUGCCUUGGAACAAAUUAUUUCUGUGUCACUAAAACAAAAAAAAAAAAAUAACUUCUUCGAUAUAUUCACACACGAGUCAUGAUAAGUUUUCCAAAACCAAUUUGAAUAUCUGAACUGGUUUAGCUUUCGGUGCACACGGCGUGCUUUUUGCAUGCCCAUCUUCCAUUACCAAAAUAAUGGAGCAACGCAAGUGACAAAAUAAAUGAGUCUUAAAUGGGUCGCAUGUGAUAGCCAUCCAUAAAUAUAUGAGGUCAGGCAGACCUGGUAAAUUGGUAAUUUACAUGAGCUGUUAACUGGUAAUUUUUUUCCAUUACUUGUUUGGAUUGCUGUUUUUCGUUGAAAAAUUAUUUCGUUUUUCGUAAUCAUAUUUUUCUAUUAUUUUUUUCCCUCACAUACAUCAAAUCGUUCCAGUUAUUUUUUCAUGAAAAAUGCAAUCCAAACGUAUUGUAUUGAAUAUAAAGGGAAAAAAGAAAAGGAAAACAAAAAGUGAAUUUCUUCUUAUGCCGACAACAAAUUACACAGGGUGAUGGAAAAUCAAAGCACCUGAAUGUCAACCCAUGCCUUUGCCAAAGUCUAACUUUAAAUAGGAGAAAUGAGAUAGAAACAUGAAAUUAAGUAAAUAAUACUUUAAUAUACUGACGUUUUUCCGACUGAGUUUUUUUUUAAAAACAAAAAAAUUUUGUUUUCCUGAAAACAACUCCAAAAUCCAAUCAUUCAAACAAAGUCAAAUAGAUUACAAAACAGCUUUGAGGUAUGUCAUGAACAAAGUUUGGAAAUGGCUUAAUUUUACUUUACAUCCUUCAAAUAUAUUUGAAUUCCCACUUCCGUCUCUCUUUAAUUCCUAAAGUUUAGUCUCAAAAAAGCAUGAAAUUUGUCUUACCUUAUCCUUUAACUGUAAAAUUUGUCCCACGAUUUUAUUUAAGUGGGGCAGAACUUAGAUUUUACAGACUAAAGUGUUUUAUUUUAAAAUUUAGAAAUCGAAGUAAGAUUCCAAAUAUAGUAGAAGGGUGCAAAGUGGAAUUAACCCUUGGAAAAUAGGCAUGAUUAGUAACCAUCCACGGCCAUCUUUGUUCCUACUUGUGUGCUUUAAUAAUUGUGAGACAGAGGCCUUGGAAAUUAAUGCUACUUUAUUGAAUCACAGAACAUGGAAUUGUGCGUUUUAACAUUCCAUGACACAUUAAGCCAUAGAAUGUAGGGGUAAUUUCAGAAACCUCUCUUGAGGUUUCUAAACAUUUCACAUAGAUACCCUCUAAUAUGAAAAAUUAUACUGCCCUCCCCUUGAUUGACAUAGUUGAUGACAAAUUAAGCCCCAUAUGAGAAAAGGUAAUCUUAAAAGUAAUGAAUCAAUCUUGUCAAACAAUUAUAUUUCAAGUUUGCCCUUAUUGACCCUACAAGAAAAUGAGUUAAAAUUUUGGGUAAGAAAAAUGGCAAUAAAAAAGAAAAAUUGGCACCAAGUUGAUCCCCUUGGGACAUGAAAAUAACAUUAAAAUCAACAUUCUCAAUAGUAAAGUCUUACAAGAAUCGUUAGAAGUGCAGCGGUACCCAAAUAUUGAUAACGAUCGACCUGCAUUUGCUAGCUAUAUUCAUUUCAUUCAGAUUGUAAAAUUCAUUUGAAAUAUGAAUAUAAUUGUAAAAAUGUACCCCCAAAGUUGAGACUUGGUAGUUAUAUAAUGGUAGAACCACAAGGGCACGAAAUAGUGGAUUUAAAUUCAUCUACAAUAUUUAGUAGAAAUUUAUCUACCAAACUUCGAAAUCAAAGAUUCUAGAUGUACAAAGCACUAUAAACUAAAACAAGUUUUAAAUAUAAUAAAUAACAAGGUCAUACACUUCAAGUUUAUUGAAUACCCACAAAAAGUUGUCAUGUUGUUCGAUUCAAGCAUAUUAGGAGGAAUUGCGUUCAUAUGAUCCACAAAACAAGUUGAUUACCAGCCCAUUUUCAUGUAACUUAAACCUUUCCAAUGACUGUUCUAUCAGUAUUGGCAUCCAUAGUUGCAACACUCAUUGGAAUCAUACAUUUCAUAUGUAGCAAAUAAUUAAGAUUUUUAGGUAAUUCAUGAAGUACUUUCUCACAAAUAUCAUUCGAUAGUUCUAUGUAAGAGUACUUAUCAAGACCGAUAUUAAGAAUCCUGAUUCUCUUUCCCUUGUAGUGAAUUACAAUGUCAUAUGCAACUAUAGGUGACAUCCUAUUUUAUACAAUUAAUCAUUAGUAUCAUAAUUGUUACUAAAAUCAAAACUUGAAUAAUAAACUGAAACCUUCUUUAUCAUAUAGGAAUAACAUCUAGGAGCACCUUUCACAAUACAAAAAACUGGGCGCUGGGAGUGUUUGGAUAGCACAAAUAUUUCAAAUAAUAUUUCGCUUGCAUCAUAAAUACAUUUUCCAACCCACCUUUUUAUAUUUCCCAAUUACCUUUUUAUUUCACAUACAUCACAUCACAAAACGUACUACAGUAAUUAUUCCAAAUAAUAUUUCAAAUAAUACCUUAUCCAAACAAUUAUAAUUUUUUGUUCAUUUACCCACAUUAUAUAGGUUUGUUAUCUCGAAACAAUCUCAACUAAUCUUUCAUUCUUCCAUUACCAGCAUUUAUUGCUCGACAAGUUUUACAAGUAGUACAACUAAUAAAUUGAAUAGAAAAAUAUUAUGCUUGGAAGACUUAUUUUUCCCCAUAUUUCUAGGACUCUAGGGACUGAUUUUGUAAGGGUAUUUCAGUCACUUUACUGUUGUUGAAGAUGAUACCUGGUCACUUCAAAAUGAAAUGGGAGGGCAGUGUAAUUUUUGAUAUUAAAAGGUAUUUAUGUGUAAUUAUUAGAAACCAAUUAUUCCAAGAAUUUCUACUGCUAAUUUUUUUUGCUUUGAAUUUGAAGUACGUUACGUUCAGGCCUUUCAGUUUCAGCAUAAUAGUCCUUUGCCAACACCCCCACCCGCAACCCCAAAAAAAGUAUAAAAAAAAAAAAAAACACACACACACACACACACACACACACACACACACAAUUAUUAUUGUCGCUUUGGGGCUCCCUCAAUUUAAACCUCACUUGCUCCUUACUUCUUCUCCCCCUCCCGACUUAAAACCAAACAUCUCUCUCUCUUUCCUCUCUGCGUCUCGGCUAAGCAAAUUCAAAAAGGUAAGGACGAGUCAUAAGAAAAUUUCUAACCAAUCGAUCAUAUUAGUCAUUUUAUCCUAACCGUUCAGAUUUGGUCUUCUUGUCUCAAUCUUUAAGAGCUCUAGUAAUUUCAACAAAAUGUGAAUUUUUAUAUGUUGUUAAUUCCGACUAGUUUGAAGCUUAUUUUUUUGGCUCUCGCUGAUCCGUUUUUUAGCUUCUGUGUUUUCAUUUUUAGCAUUUGUUAAAUGAUCUGUUUGUUUUGGUUUUAGAUCGGUUAGUUUUUAGCACUAACGAUGAAACAAGCGAUUCAAUUGUAGUUGAUGCGUUUUUAGAAAUUUUAGAUUUUAGGUGACUCGCGGAAUUUUCAUGACCUGGUAAUUGUCUUUUAUCAGAUCCUUUUGUUGGAUAGAUGGUUUAAUUCGUUUAAACUGUGAAUGAUUUCUCAAUGUGGAUUUAUGUUGAGUUACUUCAAUAAUUUUCACUGCUACAAGUUUAGGAAUUGGAUCUCCUUCAACUUUUUUCGCGUAGAUUUCUUUCUCGUAGUUCAGUAUCAGUCCGUUGUUGUAAAAAGUUAAUUUGAUGAAUGUUUGUGCCACUGAUCUAUAGGGACAACUCGAUCUAGCAUGUUUAGUUUUCUCGAUGAAAUCGUAAGAAAUUUUAUGGCUUCUUGUUGAUACAGUAAGAUUACUGAAAGAGAAUGGGUCGGGGAGUCAGUGCUGGGGGAGGUCAGAGUUCUCUGGGCUACCUCUUUGGAGGUGGAGAGGCCGCUAACACUCCUCCAGCUGCUAAGACUGAAGUUAAGGCUUCAAAUGGUGAGUCUUCCACCAAGCCUGCUGCUGUUUCACAGCCUGUGGAUGCCAUUAAGCAAGUUCCAGCCGGCAUUCAAAGUAAUAACGCCAACAACUAUAUGCGGGCAGAUGGCCAAAACUGUGGAAAUUUUCUGACGGUAUGACUCUUUGCGUUAGUUCUAUGCUAUUUUAUUAUGUAUUGUCAAGUUCUUGUUGCUCUGGAAUAAGUAUUGCUUGCAUGGAGGACGUAAAGAAGCAUUACCUUACCUGGAAAGAGAUCCACAAUCUGACUCAUCUAUAGUUUGGGUUUAAGUCAGAAUCAAAUACAACAUUUAGCCUGCAAUACACAAUGCAUGUAUCAGAUAAUCUUUCGCACACAUUGCCUCAUGGGUUAAUAAGCUAUGAACAUAUCUAUGCAUUUUGAUUCAUCGUUGAACUAAUGAAUUGGAGGAGUAUUAGUAUGAUAUGCAAGUUAAAUUCCUUCUGGACAAUUUAAUGUGAAAGAGUCACUUCGCUACCCAUUACUGUCAUUCUAUGAUGCAUAGCUGAUGGGUUAGCUGACUGGUGAUAAGGCUUUACUGCAAUUUUUUUGGAUGUGUCAUGUUUAUGAACCUGCUGGAAUCGUCAAUAGCAUCUCUAGCACAAAUCCUCAUGGCAGCUGUAGAUGCUAUCAUGACUCCAUUCUGUUAAAAGAAAGAAUUAUGGAGGUUUACCAUAUUUGUCAUGUUAAUCCUCCUAGAAGAUUCUUACGUAUUUCGCCAGUUUGCGGUCUAUAUCAUAGAACACUCUCUUCCUUGAUAAGCAAACUGCAAUUGAUUUCGAGACACCAGUAUUAUCUGUUUACUAUACUAGAUCAGUUUCAGAUGCAACUUAGCAACUGCAAAUUAGCAGAUGCAACUUGUGCUCUGCCUCCACCCCAAUGGCGUACUGCCAUCCCUUGAACUUGAUAGCCAAAUAGGUUUGCACUUUCUAGAUGGUGCAUAGUGUUAAUAAUCUUAUCUUUUGAGAGCUUGAUUUGAUUGUUGAUUUAGUUAUAGUGGGUAGCCAUCAUGCUUUUGCUUGUCUUGACAUUUCUGGAAGCUGCCAAGCAUUUCUAAGAAUCAUAAUCUUCUUACUGCAGGAAAGGCCGUCAACCAAGGUCCAUGCUGCUCCUGGCGGUGGUUCUUCACUUGGUUACCUGUUCGGUGAUGGCAAGAAAUGAUUUGUACUUGAGACCUGUGGCCUGUGGCCUGUUGCUUGUGCAAUUACUUUGAAAAACAAAAAUUCCUUAUUAUUUGAUGUUUGGAUCGUGAAAUUUAUGUGGAACUGUCUAAUUUUCAGUCACUUCCGUGAUUGAAUUUGACAAUGGGAGUUAUAAAAGCAAUGCUGGAAACGAAGGCAUUUGCUGAUAAUCUCUCUUGUUUCUAUUGGAACAGGCAUGUUAAUGGAAGUAAUAUGCUAGUGAUACAUGUUCUUUUUUUGAGUGAUAUGUUACUGCUACGUGUUCAUGAAGAGUAAUCUGUUAGCAGUACAUCAGCUAUGUUCUGUGACUAUGACGCUAUGUACAUCAGCUGUGUUUUGUGACAAUGACGCUGUGUAUUGGGAGUGCAGGUCAGAAUACAGAGCGAUAGUCAGAACGAAGCGCUCUCCAAACAGAGGGUUGCUUUUACUUUUCGGGCUUUAGGCCUUCACAAUCGGGAAAGGCUGUAAAUUUGCUGCUCUAGUUUUUGUUUUGUGCUCUCCGAAGGCUGUAAAUUUGCAGCUUUCGAUUUUGUUUUGUGCUUCUGUUUUAAACCUUUACGAUCGACAAGGGAUUGUAUUUCUAUUUCUCAUUUUGCUUCACAACUGCCUAUUAAUUGCGUUAAGAGGGGAGGUAGCCACUCUUGUUUUUGUUUUUUAUUUUAUGCGGUCAAAAUGCAUGGCUCAUUGGUUUGGAUUGUCUAAGAUUGUGCUAAUUCCAACUUAUCGAACGCUAAACCCUGAAUCUGCAUUGCACUUCUAGAAUGGUAGAUUUUGACGAUUGUACAUAGGCUCUUUAGCAAGAAUUAUUUGUCAAUUGAAGAGGUCUCUUAUCACUCAAAGCAAAAAUUUAUACAAUCCAUUUCCUCUAAACUGAAGAAGUGCAGAAAUCCCAGUCACCAGCUUUGUUAUCAAUCGAGCUUCAAAAAUUGAUUGCCAAAUUUGUAUCAAAUCAGCCCCAGAUCAAAAUCUACCGCAUAGUCUGAAGUAAAAUAAACUAAAUUUCGGCACUAUUUUCGAGGAGAUUUGAAUGCCGUUCCUCCUUCAACCAAAACAGGUUUGUUAACCAGAAUAAUGUAGAACGGUUAAACCCCAAUUUAAUCCACAAGCAUGUCAUGAACACAUCUAAUCAUUAUCUUCUAUCUAUCAAAGUCCCACCCUGCUGAAUGUUGAGCUUCAGAGAUCUCAGAAAGAGCACAAACAAAUGCCAACUGAAAGUCAUAAAACACCUUCAGCACAUAUCACACACCUAAUCAACUUAAAAAUGGGCCUAGCAGACCAGAAACAAUAAAAAAGCCAAAGAAAGCUUAGGAUAUGCUUUGAACAAAGAAACUCAAAGCAUUUGUAGAAACUAUAAACCACAAAUGAAGGAAACAACAGAACAUCUACCAAAAAGGUUCUUCAAUCAAAUUAAAGUUUCAAUUUUGUGACUUCGAAUCAAAUGAAAUUCGUUCGAGACCUACAACGAAACAGUCAUAAGGAUAAUAACAACACCAAAAUUGAUUAAAACACCACCAUCUUUAAUUAAGCUACUAAUUAAACCAAAAGUUCUUUUUUUUUUUUGAGGGGGAGGGUAAAAAGCUCGAGACAAAUAAAGGUAACAUGAUGGUGACGGCGGACGCAGAAAAUUUAGAAGCCGAGCUUGGUGCGGCGCCAGUGGCGGCGCUUGGCAUUGUAGCGGAUGGUGUUGUCAGUGCGCAUGCGGAUCCAAUAAGGGAUGGGCCUGUUCUGCCUCUGCUUCUUCGCCAGCUUCUUCUUUAUCAUGAAGGUCUUGUGGGACGGCUGAUUGAACGUCCAAGAGAAACAAAACGCAUUUCAGCAGUCACGAUUCACGACUAAGAAGGAAUACGGAAAGCAAUAGAAGAGAAAGAUGAAGUCAGAGGAGCUUACCAUCUUCGGUUGCUGUAAGUUGAAGGAGAGCACCGGCGGGAGGAUGGGUUGGCUUCGGAAUAGCUGCAGAGAGGCUGAAAGCGAGGCGGCCGAGAAACAUAAACCCUAAAUCAAAUGAACAUAUAUAGUGGGACUAUAUGUACUCUGGAGUUAUGGGGCGGACUACUUACGACCUUUCUGAGGUCUUGACCGCCUGGCCCAGUUACCCAAACUCUUUCAGAUGAGCCCAAACAGGGUGUCUCCCACUAGUACUCGUAGAAUUGAGUCAAAAAAGAAAAACAAAUACUCAUACAAAAGUAAACCUCAAGAAAGUAGAGACAGAAAUUAUUAGCAAAUAUGGGAGGAAAACUUUUGUAAUGAACUAAAAAGAAUUUACUACUAUUUAUCUAUGCUAGAUCUUUAUUUUACCCAAGAAAAAAUUGCCCGUGUUUUUUUUUCACCGUGGAAAGCCUGUAAUGCUAAACAUAAUAUAAGAGCUUUCCAGAAUAUUUACCUAAUUUAAAAAAAGCAAAAAAGAGAGUUUAUGAAGCUAAAAAUGAAGGGUGUGAAUCAUUACUUAAUAAAAAAUCCAAAUAGAACAUAACAUUUAAAAUCAAUUAGUAACGUAAAUAAAUGUGUGUACCCGGAAUAUAAGGUUGUGUUUGGAUUGCAUUUUCGGUCAUUUUUCAUGGAAAAAUUACUGUAGUGAUUUGAUAUAUGUGAGGGAAAAAUGUGAUAGGGAAAUGUGAUCAUGAAAAACGACAAUAUUUUCCGACGGAAACAAGCAAUCCAAACAAGGCAAGCAUAUAAAGAACAUGUUUCUUUGGACCUCUACCUUUGGGCGUGUGCGUGCUUUUUUUUCCCCCUAUUUGUUAUUGAGUAAAUCUUAUAUACAUUAACGGUAUAUACACUAUCAUGGUUAGAUAUAUGACAUAUAUGCAAAAUUUGAGUUUCAAAUUUAAAUUCGAAUUAUAUGUCAUGCAUUUAAUGAUGAAAAUGUAUACAUUGCCGUGUAUAGGAAAUUAAUCAUUUGUUUAAUAGUAAACAUUUACCUUGUCAUGUUAGCAAUUCUUUUCUAGAGUGAAGGCAUUUGACCUCUUGAGUAGGGAUGACAAAUCCCCCCCCUGCCCCGUCCGCCGCUCCCCUAACCCGUCCCAUUUCUUCCACAGGGUUAUAUAAUUUUAUUAUAGUUAAAUUUUUGCAAAUAAUCAAGUACUAAAAUAUCAACACAUCACCAAAUUAUUAUUCAUUGUAAUUUCACAAUUGAAACUUAUAAAAACAAUCAAACAAAAGUUAUUUGAAUACAAUCCAACAUGAUGAAAUAAAUACAACUAAAGUAGUCAAGUUUUCACUUUUGGCACAAAUACAAUCACUAAUUCAUUAUUGUGCUUGUGUUUUUUUUAAGAAAAAAAUUUUAUUGUAUUAAGUGUAAUUAGGGAUUUAGUAUAAAUGUAUUAGCAAAUUUAGUAUAACAAUUAAUAAUUUGUAUUAGUACACAUAUAUAAUUAUUAGUAUAAUUGAUGAUAUCAGUUAUAUUAUAUAUACUAAUAUACAUUAUAUAAUACAUAUAAUUAAUAAUAUCAUUAUCAUAAGUUUGUAACUAAUUAAUUUAUAUAUUAUAUAUAUAUAAUUAUAUACCUAUAUAUUUUAUAUAUUUAUUUUUUUAAAACGGGUGGCGGGGCGGGGGUACACUCCCCCGAUCCCCUGCCCGUUUCUAAGCAGGGUUCCUCCCGCCCCCUCCCUAUUAGUCCCCUGUGGGGUGGGUGUCCGCAGUCACCAUCACCCAUUGCCAUCCUUACUUUUGAGCGAUCCGGUAUUUUGAGUAUUUACACCUAUGAUUCUUAGCAAUUGCACUCGCCUUUUUUGAGUUUUAAAAAAAUAGCACUAAUCUUCCAUGUUACGGAGGUCAAUGCUUUUUUUGAAACUUUAGACGAGGUGAAUGCAAUUAUUAGAAACCUCAGGAGAGAUUUAUGCAAUUGUCCCUUCUUUGAAUGCCCGCAACGGAGCGCAUGGGAGAUAAAAUUUAUAAAAAAAAAAAAACUUGAAAAUCAGGAAAGGUUCAAAGAGGUUUCUAAUUUAAUAUAACAUGAACCUGAAAGGGGGAGGAAAUAAAAAGAUACUCUUUACUAAUUUAAAAAAAAGGAAGAAACGAAUAAAAAUUCCCUCGGGUACUUGAACUACCCGCAAAUUAGGGUUUUAUCUUUCUCUGGGUUUCCUCCCUUGCAGAGCCCUUCCCGGCCCUAUCCGGCUAUCCCCCAGUGCUAUUUGCUGCGGAAGCUCAGCAAGUUUUUCCCAUAAAAAAUUAAAAAAGGAAGUUAGAUAAAAGGAAAAAUGACAACUGUGGUUCCUACUUCGGAGGAAGAUCCUGCGCUCUCCGUCGUCCGAUUCACCGCCGAGCUGUCCUGGGCUGAUGCGGGUCUCGAGGUUUUCCCCUUCUUCACCACUUCUCUGUAACAUCGUCUUAUAGCUCUUGUCUGAGAUUGCUCCUCAACAAACACACUCAUAUUAUUGAGAUUAUUGAUGCAUAUAUGUACAACCAAUAAAAAAAAUAUAGAUAUGUAUGUUUUGUAAUUUGUUAGACGUAGGAACGAGUAGAAUUUGAAUUUUGUACUUCUUUUUUAAAAUUUUGUUCGUAUUAUGGAUGCGUGUGCCAAUAUUAGGUAUCGGAGGCACAGGUAAAUAGCUUGUGCAUGGAGGCGCAGGAGUGCAUGAUUGAAGGUAGAUGGCUGGAUUUGGCUUCUCUCAUGCUUACGUCUGCUGAUUUGAUCUUUUCCAAAGCUUCCGAGAAAGGUAAUUUCUCUUGAGAAAUUAAAUAUCUAAUUAUAGCAUGAAUUUGCGAAACGUAAAUCAUCACAUUGAUUAGUAUUCUCCUUUUUUCUUUCUUUUUUUUGGUGGGUGGAGGUUUCAUUAGUAGUAAAAUUGAAUAGGGAACUAGGGAACUAGGGAUUCAAUAUAUAGAUUUCUCAAAGGAUUGCAACCUCCUGUUAGUUAUCAAAAUUUUCUCAUUGCCGAGUAUAGAACAGGAGGAACCAAAUUGUUUUACUAGGUGAGAUGACAUUCCUGUAGGGCUUUCGACGCAUUAAGCGAAGACACCUUUGUCUCUUGGGGAAUGGAAUUAAUGCUUUUCAUAAACAAUUUUUUCCUCCUCCAUUUUCUCUCUGCAAAUGUUCAUAUUGUUGUACAUGGCAUAAAAUCUGCUAUCCAGUGGCUACUUUUACCCCUUCUACUGUAUUUAAGUCUUGCUUUGUUUUUUGGUUACAUUUUCUUCUCGUGUGUUUUUCUUGGUGGUUCUUGUGCUUUCUAUUUGUCAAUUGUACGAGUGACCUAAUACUUGUUGGUUUUUUCAUCAGAUCUUGAGUGUGUUUUCACUGUGAUUUGCAACCUUGUUAAGAAGGCUGAAAAUUUUGAUCAAGUACACACGAUGGCAGAUAUCAUAUCCUCAAAAGUCACCCAACAGCCCAAUGUUAAACCUGCAUUGCGAGUAAAAAUGUAAUACACACCAUUGAUGAUUAUUUAUCAGCUUAGUAAGCCUGGAUGCUUUCUUGCACUUAGUCUUUUCUCUUUGUUGAAACAUAACAGUUUGUUCAACCUCUACAAUCUGCUGGAGAACCCAGCUAGCUGCUUCUUUGUGUACAUGAAAGCUCUUAGCGUGGCAGUCAGUGGAAAAGUCACUGAACAUGUAAUACCAUCAUUCAAGAAUAUAGAUAGCUUCUUGAGGGAAUGGAAUCUUGGGGUGAAGGAUCAGAGAGAGCUCUUCCUCACCAUCUCUAAUGCAUUGAAAGAAAAUAAGAGGUAGGAAAUGUUUCAGGUUGUCAAUUAAUCUUUUGUACUCAUUGUACUUGCUAUGACGUCUCUUGCCCAAAGUAUGUUGUCUCAUUUCAUCUUAUUUGUCUAUUUGUGGGGUCCCAGCUCUGCAAAGGAUUCUUUCAAGUUUCUCACUAGAUAUCUCGCAACCUUUUCUGAUGAAGAUGCAUAUGCUCUGAGUGAAGCAAAGGAAGAAGCAGUCCGUGCUAUAGUUGAUUUUGUGAAGGCACCUGACAUGUUUCAGGUUUCACUUGUCUGUCUCUUUGCAUUGCAUAUAAACUGGUUGUGAGGAGCUCCAAGGCUUGGUUGAAUCUGACUUUAUGGUGCAUGAUUAUUCAUCUCCAAAUGUUACAUUAAAUUUUUUCUUUAAUGUAAUUUUGAGCUGCAGUGUUACAUAUAUGCUUUUAUACUUAAUUAUCAAUUUGGUACGUCGGAACUUAUUUGUGUGAUGUGUCAGCGUUAUUGAGUCAUUUGUAUCUUGGAAUGGGAAACCUACAACUCAUCAAUCAAGUUAGAUUUUGUUCUUGUGGUCUUGGAGUACAGUAGUUGUAUUUCUACUUCCAUAGUUAUGUGAAUAGUUGAUAAACUGGACGAACUUGGCAGAUGCUAUGUCUUCUUGGAAUACAGCUAUAUGUCAAUCUUGUAGAGGGUGAAAAGCUGUAUGCCUUUUACGAAACCAAGGACCUAAUUUAGUUUGUGUGCAACUUGUACUGGUGCAUCUGGAAGUUACUCUUGCUAUUAUGUUUUGGAUAAGCUAUUUCAUUCUUCCUGUUCGGAUAAUGAUUCUUUUAUGCUUUUUCUUGCUAGUGUGACCUGCUAGAUAUGCCUGCUGUGGCACAGUUGGAGAAGGAUGCUAAACAUGCAUUGGUAUAUCAGCUUCUGAAGAUCUUCUUGACUCAGAGGCUGGAUGCUUACUUGGAUUUUAGUACUGCAAAUUCUACUUUGCUGAAAAGCUACGGUAUUAUCUUAUACGUGUGCAGUUGUGGUCCAUUUGAUGUACCAGCGUCAUGCUUUUUUUAGUUUAACUCUUGCCUAUAAUUGCUUGUUUGGAUUAUACAGGACUUGUUCAUGAAGAUUGUAUAGCUAAAAUGAGGUUGUUGUCAUUGGUUGAUCUUGCCUCCAAUGAAUCUGGCCAAGUUCCUUAUUCUUUGAUCAGGGACACACUGAAGGUGAUUUUUCAUUUUCCUUUUCUGAAGUCUAAUGAUUCUGCAACAUUUUAAUAUUUAUUGUGUUAGAUGUUGACAUUUUCACAGAUUGAAGGGGAUGAGGUUGAAUCAUGGGUUGUUAAAGCAAUCACAGCAAAGUUAAUCGACUGUAAGAUAGAUCAAAUGAAUGAAAUAGUAAUUGUGAGGUACAGAAUUUGCAGUUUUCUUUUCCUCUACUCAGAUUAACCAGUGGUGAGAUGUGAUGUUGGCACUUACAGCAGUUACUUUGUGUUAUUAUGUGAGUAGACGUGGUACAGAGCGUGUUUUUGGGCCACACCAGUGGGAAAUACUCAGAGCAAAGCUUGUGAAUUGGAGGGUAAGUUCUCUAGCUUCAGUCAUAUAAACUCCUUUUGGGCACUGCACUCUGAAAAUCUGAAAUUUAUAACCACCAAAGUUGUUAAUUUUGCCUUUAGCGGUGUCACCUUUUUUGUGUAUGGUGGUAUGCCUGUAAUAACCUUCUCUUGAUGUUAAAGCUGACGGUCAUGUUUGUACUGCUUCACCACUGUUACCGGGUUUUCCUUAACUAUAAAGUGUUUUUUGGGAUCAUUUAUUUCUGCUGAAUUUUUUGCAGACCAAUAUUGCAAACGUCAUUACCUCCAUUCAGGCUAACAAGAUAUCAGAAGACAGCACACAAGAAGGAUUGAUGAUUCGCUGAAAUUUGUUCGUUGAUCAGCCAUUGGUCCAUGGAAAUCGUUGGGUACCAGACAGAAAUGGGCUUCCAUGUGGAAAAAUCGCAAUCUCUGUUGUUACUUUUGAUGUCAGAUAACAUUUUGUAUCUUUAUAGCCUCGGUUUAGGUUAAAUUUAAAGACAGCAAAAAGAAAGGUUGAAAAUCUGUGUUGCAUGUCACAAAAUUUUGGAGUCAUUUAAGCUGUAUGGAAACAAUUUUGACUCGUGACCAUGAGUUGCUUAGUUUGAUUCAAUCGACUUCUGCAGUGUAUGUUAUUUUGUAAUUGGGGCCGUUGGAACUCUUCUCAUCCUCCUAAAUUUCAGCAUAUUGAGGGAGCUGCAAAAGCAAUCUCAUUCAUUUGUUUUAUUACCAAUGUCUUUGCGUGUCACUUGCGUUGCUAUUUAAUUAAACAAGUGCAAGAUGAAAGUUCUAAAAAGCUACAGAGGAAAAACUCUAGUUUAAGUGCAAGAGCAAAGUUCUAAAAGCUACGACAAAAGAGCACCUGUUCAUACUUAUGAGGUAUUUAUGGCAGAUUUUGAGGAAUUUCCAGAAGAGAUGUACCAUGUUUUGAAAGAGAGUUGAUGCUGGGCGGUGGAAAACUGUUGAGUACUGAUAAUUUAUUUCUACAGAAUCGAACACGUUGGCAGACAUUCGCACCAUUUUGCAUCCAACUCUUGUUAUUAUGAAAGGCCUUGUGUUUUCUUUUGUAAUUGGUAGAUGCGCAUGGCCAGUUUUUCAUACAUCAUUUCUUCAUCGAAACUGGAAAUUGGUUCACUCACACCAACAAAAUCUCAUUUUGUUCCGAAAGGUUACACGGGGCAAUCAGUGUAAGUAAUUGUUUCUUUCAUAAUACACUAAAUAUGCAACCUUUUCCUGGUUACAAACGGUAAUAUGAACUGGUUGCUGGGAACAUAAGAUAUGCAAGUUCUGUCCACUUUUGCUUCCAGUAGUUUGUUGUUGAAGGAUCCUACUAUUGCACUGUCGGAAAUUCCAAAGGAACCACAGAUGAUCUUAGCUCAGUUCACUUUUUGGUGAACUGCUCCAGUGCACUUCAUUCCAAAGUUACAAGAUCAGUGUCGCUUUUGGGUGCCUGUAAUUGCCUCCUCACUAAUGCAGUGUAAAUUCCAUCCCUGUUCAGCAGCUCUUCAUGGGUGCCACUUUCAGCUAUCUGGCCAUCAGAUAUGACUGCAACUGUGUCAGCGCUUUUGACAGUAGAAAGCCUGUGUGCUAUGACCAGAACAGUCCUGCCUCUCAUUAGAGAAUCCAUGGCAUCCUGUACAUAAAUUACAAGUCAGCGGAAUAUGCUGGAACUGGUUUGGAGACAUGAAAAAGAUGCAAAAUGAUCCUCACAGUAACAUUUACUUAUGGUAUGAGAAAAAUAAUGCAGAACUACUAGCCACUGAACACAAAACACUGAUUAUAAAUGGAGAAGGUACUGAAAAUUUUAUUAAGACUUUAACAUCAACUCACGAAUGACAAUAAAAUAGCAUUGCCCAAUUUGGAACACGAAUUUUAGGAGCAUAUUAAUCAUAGAGUUUUCAUACAAAAAGGAAUUACGACAGGAUAAUUAAUCUCACCUGUACAAGGUACUCGCUCUCAGCAUCUAGAGCACUUGUUGCUUCAUCCAAUAGCAAAACUCUUGGGUUCAUCAAGAGAGCUCUUGCUAUCGCAAUUCUUUGCUUCUGGCCUCCUGAUAACCUCAAUCCACGUUCUCCAACAACAGUUUGAUAUUUAUCAGGAAACGAUGCAACAAAAUCAUGUGCAUUAGCCAUUUUCUGCAGUAUUUAAUCCCAUUAGUAUUAGUCAGUGACUCAAAUGCCCAGGCAAAGAAAUCACAACAUAAAACAAAAGCAUGAAAUAGAAACACGGAGGUACUUACAGCAGCAUUUUCUAUGUCUGUGCUGCUUGCUUUGCCAUCAAAACCAUAUGCAAUGUUCUCUUCUAUGGAACAAUUAAAAAGAACAGGUUCCUGGCUCACUAUACUGAUCUUUAAGUAGACAUGCAGACAAGAAGCACAAAACUUCAGUGUAUUGGGGGACACAAUGUUAUUGUGUUAUAAAUUGCUCAAAAAACAACCUUAAAGUGUUUCUGAAACUAACUUCAGGGAUAGCAGGACUAGAAUACCUUCCUGUGUAAAUACUCGUGUGAUAUUUCAACCAAGGAAACUCCAUUAAGCAAAAUCUUCCCCUUUAUUGGGUCAUAAAAUCUCUCAAUCAAGUUAGCUAUAGUUGUCUGCAAUCAAAAUAUGGGAUUGCUUGAUGAGAUAAUAUAUCAAAAAGCUCCUCAGAUGCAGAAAAAGGCGCCUUCACAGCAAAAAGAUAAAAGAACUAGGAAAAUACCUUUCCUCCGCCACUUGGACCAACCAGGGCUACUUUUGAACCGGGUUUCAGUUUUAAGGUUAUUCCCUGCAUUUGUUACAGAACAUACUCAACUGUAAUCCAGACAUGAAAACAUGAAUGUUUCAUCAUCUCUCCAGGAAAAGUGUACAUAAAUUUUUGUCAUUUUGAUCUUGAUAUAUACUAUCAAUGAAAAGACUACUCAAAAAAAGCUUUCGAUCUAAUCUUCAUGAAGAACUCAAACAAAGCAUCAUCUCAGGAUGAAUAUAAAUUGUAAAUAUAAGAAACAGACAUUCAAUAUCUCACUGCUUCAUCUAAAUGUGAGAAAUUUUAGUUCAUCAAGGAAUGUCAUACCUUGAGCACCAUAUGACUCGGACGAGAAGGGUAAGCAAACCAGACAUCCUCCAAUGCCACAUCUCCAUCUGGAUUGCUGAUCACAAGACCAAAUAUCAAAUUAGCACCAAAGCCAGAGAUCCUAUGCACCUACAACGGGAUUCUUUCUUCUAGUUUAGGGUGGUUUCUGAAAGCGGAAAAGGGCAUGUUUAUGGGGAAAAUUCAACAAUCUUUACGAGGGAAACCCCUAGAAACACUUAAAAUUACUUUUCCAACAAACAGGGAAAGGAAAGAAUUGUAAAAGUUUGAAAUGGGUCACGGUCCCCCACCGUGGUUCCUCAUCUUCACGUUCCAUUCAUCAAAAUACUGCUUUAGGGUCUUGAUAUGGAAAAUCACAUGUUAAUGGAAACACUUUAAAUCUAGAUUGUUAUUUAAGCAAGUUUUCAUGUAUGUCCAACAGACAAGAAGCUAACCCCAUGGGACAUUUAUCUCCUGCUUUAGGCAUGGUAGAGACACGAUCUAAAAUUUGAAAAACUCUCCUACUUGCACCUGCUGCUUUCAUAGCUGUUGUAUAUAAUCCUGAUAAUGAUGAUAUUGAGGACCCAACUGCACAAGGAGUUUUCAGUCAAUAAAGGCAAUGAUAAUGUGAAAACUUGAAGCUUUACCAUGCAACAUUAACUGUUGAAACCAUUUGAAAAAUGCAAUAUUCUGCUGCAAGGCUAUGGAGAACUUUUGGAGCAGGUUAGAUCAUUUAAGAUAAUAAAUCAUCCAACAAGGUGUCCUCCUUCCAUAAAAGCCUUUACUAAAUUAUCCAUGCUUGGAGUUUUAUCCAGCCUCUACUAGGGUCAUGUAGAUACGAAAUGGCAUCAGCUCCAAGUACAACCUGCAUAAAUAUUCCAGGCUUGGAGUUUUAUAAUUUUCACCUUUACUACCUUAUCCAGUAUCUUUCCCAUUGACAGUCUUUCCUAGUUAACCUUAUCAUUUGGAUAAUGAUAUUAUUAAGGUGUAGAUCUAGCUUGAUCUUUGCCAAAAAUAAAUAAAUAAAUAAAGGAAACCUUUCAGUAUGGAAUUCUAGUUUGGUCCUCAAUAGUUGAAACAAGAUCUGACUGUUAAGUAGGGACUUUUUUUUUGGGUGCAUUCAUGAACUAAUAGAAGUUAUCAUCCUCCAGUUGCCAGAUGUCUAUGUAAAACACUUAACGUAAAGAUAACUUCUGAGUAAAUCUUUUAAAUAUUUCUAUCACAAAGAGAAAAUAAACGAUUUCAUAACCUUGGAUAAUUUCUUUUGGCUAUUAAAGUGGAAUGGUAUCAAAUAAAGAACAAGAGAUUUACCUGUGAGGCUAUAGAGAAUGAAGGAUGUUAGAGAUCCAGUGGUCAUGGAGCCAGUUAUUGUCAAGUAAGCUCCAUAUAUCACCACUACUAUGACAGAUAAUGUUGAUGCAGCAUUGAGUCCUCCAAAGAAUAGUCCAACCACUUUCUGUGAUGGAUAAUUAGUUUGAGAAUCAGACAUCAAAGGUACUCCAUUUGUGCAUCUAAAACUAACAACAGAGGAGAAGUAUCUGGGCUAUGGAAUCUUUUGUGAGUACAGAGUGGAGAAAAGAGACUGACUGCUUGUCGGAGUCCAAGUUUCAAUGUCUCAUCAACCUUCUCAGAGUAACCUGCUAUUGCAUACUGUUCUUGGGCAAAAGAUCUCACUGUACGAAUGGCCCCAAAUGAUUCCUAAAGGUUAACUAACUAGUCAAACUAAUUUGUUGUCUGUUGGUAAGUUUUACACAAUAUCUCAGUCAAACACAAUAAACACAAACCUCGGCAAUUGAGGCAGCGACAGCUGCUGCUGCUUGAGUAGCAUGUGAAAGUUCCCGAAGAUAGCGGCCAAAUUUACGAACACCAACUGAAAUAACAGGCACGACAGCCAAAGCCAGCACUAUAGAACAUCACAGAAAAUCUUAGUAAGCAACUGCAUACAGAUUGGAUACUGCAGCACAGAUGAAAGACCAUUAAUCACUAACAUGUUAACUUCCAAGAAGAUGUGAACAUGAAUCCAAUUCCAAUGAUUGCAGUAGUCACAUUUCGUAGUGCCUCUGAAAGAUUGGUAGUUGCAGCACUUUUUAUGAUUUGGGUGUCUUCAGAUAGCCUGCUGAGAAGCUCGCCUGUCCGCGAAACAUCGAAAAAAGCUAUUUCCUGUGGAAUUUUUUGUAUCAGCACUUUACCAAUGUCCAAGUUGGACACAAGGAACAUCAAUUUUGAGGUAUAAGUGUCAGAAUCUUCCAAAUCUAUACCACCACAGUAAUUUGCCAUCUUACUGUCUCAACCACCACAGUAUAAUGUUCUUUACUAAAAGAUUCAUGGUUCUCAAAUUUUGGCAACCAAUUUAUCAGGAAGGUUGUGGAUUGGUACUAUAAGAUGCAUGUAUUUCACAAAGGUAAUGAACAAUGGGAAGCCUUACUUGUUGGAUAAGGUGACUAAAUAAAUUCUUCCUUAGACGAGCAACCACCCUUUCACUGGCUGAUGCAAAUAACCAAGACCGAAUUGCUGUUGAUACCGAACUGAACAGAAUAGAGGAUGAGAUACCCGAGAAGUGCUCGGAAUAAAAGAUAGCAGUGAAAAAGAGGUUGAUGAUGAAUGAGUGCAGGUGAACCUCAGCUUAUCUAUUUUUAUGAAAAAUGAAAGCUAGCGCAUGGAAAAAACACAACAGCCCCCCACCCCCUCCCCUCACCCACCUCCCUGAUAUUAAAGAUAAAUUUUGAUCAGACCCCCUUGAUAUCUAGAGAAAAAAAACAGAUCUACUGCAUCCUACUGAAUUCACAAAUUAUUUGAGUUAAGCAUAUAGAUUAUCAGUUCAAACUGCUGAAAUUAUACCAGAAUGCUAUCAGGUAUACAUGUACUCAUGUUAAGCCUUGAAAUUAAGUUCGUUAUUAAAAGCCCACUUCUCCAAUCUUCACACUUGACUAGGGAAUUGUAUUUACAUUAGAAAUACUUGUGAAUAUCAAUUUGGUUGUGAGGACAACAGAAAUACCCAUACCCGAUGACAACUAUUGAGAUGAUAGCUAUAAUUGUGUUCUUGAUGGCAUCUAGCGCUUCAGCUUGCUGUUCAGGAGUCCUCGUAUCCCUUGCUACAAUAUCUAUAAUCAUGCCACCAUACUUUGGCUGCAACACAAUACAAAUAUGGUUAAAGAGCAAUCCUACAAAGUUUGAAAAUUGGCAAGGUUUUUUGUCAAGAGAGCAGGAAACUGUUAUGUAUGGAGAAACUUCAAUCUGGCUUAAUUUUGGAAGAUAGCUAAUCAGAAGAAGUUUAUGAUCUGUACUAAUAAAAGGAAAAGAAAUCCAGCCAGGAGGAAACUAUACAGUAUGGGUUGGUAGAACAGGAAAAAGGAAACUUGAACUUUGCUGAACAGGGCAUGGAAUGGAUGAUAUCUCAAUCCUUUAGCAACCAUUCUUAGAACACUGAUUAGCAGGGUUAUCAUCAAAACUGGGAAUGGAAUAAUCAAGAUGAGCAUAUAUUAAGUGCAGAGUUUUGCUGAAGGAUAAUGAAUCAGUACGCAAAAUACCGUACUAUGAGAAUGCUUGAUGUGGAUGCUAUCAGCAAUGCUAUAGUAGCAACAAUUAAUUUUCCAGCAUCUGGCUUUGCCUACACAUUUCAAAGAGACCAUGAAGUGUUAGUAAAAGCACCAAUGAGACUCCAUUCUAGUCAUCACAGCUAAUGCAAGACUCACCAGAGAAAAGACUCUACCGAAUCCAACAUUUGCAGCCUGAAUUUUGCCACAGAAUUUGAACAUUAUUAGAACAAACCUACUACAUAGUGCACAAAGAGAUGCAGAAUCAAGGAACAGAAAUGUAACUACCUCUAAUGCACCAUGCUCCAGGUCUGUCUUGGGAGCAUCAGGGGAACCAUCCUCAUUUUCCUUCAGUCUAGCCUACAGGUAGAAAGGUAAGUUAAGCCUGUCAAAUUUAAGAUGAACAAAUAAACCGCAGUUAUGUAUCUGAAGCACUUGAUAAUCUACCAUGCAACAUGAUUUCUCAUAUAGCAUUCAACAGAUACAACAUUAAUAAUACCCUUCACCAAAAAAAAAAAAGGAAGAAGAAGAAGAAGGCAAAUUUGAUAGGUAUAUAUUACAAGGAGGACAACGACCCAUUCUUCUAAUUCAGGAGGGACGAGGUGCAUUUUGUAAAGUAAGCAAACUGUGAAAUGAUAAUCAUUUCCAGUCAAGUGUCCAGAUCAAAGUCACUAUAGCUUCCAUUUGUGUCCAGGCCAAUGCUGAUGCAAUACAAAAUGAAAAGAUUAGCCAUUUCCUAGCGUGAAGGAUCUACUCUCUGAUCAGCACAAAUCAGUCGAUGAACAAGGCUAGUCAUUGUUAAGCUCUGGUAUCGUGAAAUCAGAAUGCAAAGUUUCCAGUAGGGAUAUUUCAGGCGAAAUACCUGUUCCCAGGAUUUCUAGAAGAAUAAACACAACAAAACACCAGUAUAAAAGCUAGUAAAAGUUUAAAGCCAAAAUUCUCAAGUCAUGAAGUUCUUCAUAUAAGUACUAUCUCCCUAAAGACCGCUGUGUAUUAGGUUUGACAAAUCCAAUCAGACUUAGCCCUUGAAGCAGGUUAGACCGUACUGGCCUCCACCAUGUUUCACGCACCAUGUGUAGCUGCCGGUGCAGAAAAAAAGCACCAACCAAAAUUGGCUGCUGCAACAUGCCUUGCCAAAUGCCCCAAAAGUAAGAUAAUGCAAGCCAUCGAGUAAGUCGACAAAAUCACGGUACUGCUACAACAAGAAGCAACACGAAAUUUCACAUAGCAAAAGGGUACAAUGCGUGAUCAAUGAAUCAAAACAAAAUACACCAGAUGAUUAGAGGAUCCCCGGAACAAGUAAAACAGACAAGGAAAGACAGAAAUUUUGAUGAAAAAGCUUGCCUGUUUAUUCAAAAGAGAGACUCUUUCGCUACCAGUGGACAUGAUAGACUUCGACGUCCAAUCCAAAUGCUGUUUCUUCCCCAUGAAAAGUAAUAACUGAAGAAGCUAGUUAAAUAAUCAAAUACAAUUAAAGGAAAUUCAAAGCCAAAGAAUGAAUGUUCCUUUGGCUUCCUUCCCCAGAAGAUAACUAGGAGCUGACCUAAAUUAAAAUUCUUCCAAGAAAACCAAUAGAAAAAGAAAAUGAAAACUUCGCGGACUAUGGAAGCUACGCUGACGCAAGGAUUAUUACUGGGUCAAAAUCCCAUCAAGGUAUCCUAUUGAUUCUAGAAUUUAGUGAAUAAUAAUCCCACCACCAAACCAAGAAUCCUCCUCCUCGACCUGAAGGGCAGUUAUAAUGCCAACACACAUUUUAUAGAAUGUAAUCAAAUGCUACCACCAGAACGCUAAUACUCAUAGAGAGGUUGAUCUCUCACUCACUCUCAGGAGUUGAGACGUUGAGAUUUUCACGUGCUUUCGGGACCAAACACUAAUCAAUCAAGGAAGAAACGAUUUUUGCCUCAUUCGCCCCCUUUUUGACUUAACUUUCAUUACUUGAGGCGGGCUUAGUACCAAACUUUCAUGCAAAGUGUUACGGGUCGAUGCGAGGUUGGUUUCUUUCUUUUGAAAGCAAUAAUAAGACCUUUUUUCUAUUCUUUUGAAAGCAAUAAUAAGACCUUCGUCAAGUAACGCCUUGCUGUCUAGUCCCAGAUAAUAUGGUCUAGUUCUCACCUCUCCCCUGUCCCCCCACAAGUCUCUAUUCCUUAGUAAUAAAAAGUUGGGUGUUUUCGCUCCGGUCAUCACUGUGGUUUAAGUUAUAAAAAAAGUCUGAGUGUUUUCACUCCGAUCGUCACUGUAGUAAUUACUGAUCAUUCUCGUCAAAAUUCUUAUAGUAAUUACUAACACAGUUUUCGCGUGUAUUUAAUUAUUUUAUUUUUUUUAUUUUCCUGCCACGAUCAAAACAUACUCUCGAAAACAUGAGUUACUUACAAAAGCAAUUGCUCGUCAAUAAUAUCUACCAAUGCAGUCCUCACGUCCUAAAAGGAAAAGAAGCGGUCCAUGCCAAAUCCUAUCAAGAUAAUGCAGCUCUACUAGAAAAGAUGUGACCUUUUUUAAUCAUUCACCCCAUGAUUAAUGAUUGGGGGCUUUAUUACUCUAAUUGAAGCCUUGACUAUAGCAGUAAUAAAUGUUAGUACAUUAUCCCCUAUAUGAGUCGUAGCUUAUCAAACAAAACAUAAUACGGUAGUACUAACAACAGAAUCCACGGGUUCCGUUAUCAUGCAGGGAAGGUUUCAACUAUGAGGAAAAGAUACAGGAAACGAAGACGAGGACAGAGCAAAGAAGACAAGAAGUGAAGAAAUCAACUUUAGGCGUGGGUGGGUGCGUGGGGGUCGAGUCGUCCUGUCGUGGCCCCAUGUGACAACAACUCGCGAAAAGUGCCUUUCACGUACGUCUCUUGUACCUCAUCGUCCUUCUGAAGCUCUCAAUAUAAUAUUCACUGUUCUUUAAUGCAAACGUCUUUUUCGGGGCGUGAUUGAAUCUAGGAACCUAAUUCCACGUCCGCAAGACGGCAAAAGUGAAAGUGACAAUUACCAGAUCGUAAUUCUGCUUUUAACCCGCAUUUUCUUGUUUUUCCCCUGUAAUUUAUUUGUUGUCAAUAGACUCGAAUCUUUUAUGCUCUCGAAAGAAAAUUUUACCACUGACGAAAUCUUUUUCGUCAUUAUCAUGUACUACUAAUUAAUUGUACGGACUUCGUUUUCUUUUUAUUUAUUUAUUUAUUUAUUUUGGGUUCUGAGGAGGGACCAAAGGCUCUGUUAAGUACUAGCCUAGGGCACUAAUAAUUUAUGUCUUCUAUCGUAAAAGUCUUUGUUGGUCCAACAGGCCCGGAGUACCAGGUUCAAGCAACAAAAAAAUAAAAUAAAAUAUUCUUGUAUGGACGGUGAUCACGGAAAUCUUUCACACCCAGUUAGAACUAAAAAAAAAGGUGACAUGCGCGGUUCACGGUCAAGAUUUGAUCUAAAAAAAUUGUACGAUCCAGAUCAUUUAUUGUACUUCAUUUUUAACAAUGUAUAUGGGAUCCAUAAAAAUUUGUUCUAAAAUUACACGUUAUGUAAACAAAGUUAUGCCGUGUGUAAAUAAAGUUACGUAACGUAUAAAAUACACAAAAUCGCCGGAAAUGCAACCGUUCCUGCCUGUGGUCCAAAACAUUGGUGGGAUGGAUGAGUUGUCUUUCUGUGUAUUCCAGUUUCCUUUGGAUAACUUGGAGUAAUAGUACUUUUUUUAAAAACUUUUUUGCUUUCCUCUCACUCCCAAGUCAGAGGCUAAAGCAAUUUCUUCUUUCUUUCUUUCUUUUCUUUAAUUUUGAUAGACUAAUUAACAGCUCCUUUUCUAAUAAGAUUGUGAAUUUUUAACGUGGUUGUUUAUUCUGUCAACAGUUUGUUUCACUCUUAAAAAUGUGACUAAAUUCUUGGUCGGCAUCCACUUUUCUAGUCGUACCUGGACUACGAAUUUCAUUUCCCUGCCAAAUGUUUCUAGGUGGGCCGCGUGGCGCUCUUCCCUGAUGUCCACUGCCGCUCCCAAGGCCCACGUUGAUCACCCUCCUGAUCAGACCCAUAAACCUUUGCCGACAAGGCGGAGUACAUUCCAACGGAGUAGCCCAAAAUGAGCUCGGCUUUUGACCUUAAUAGCCUGGUUUUAGAACGGCAUUGAAUGGUCAUACUCACAUCACAGCGGUCUGCAAUAAGAACUUGGGCCUCGGAGCCUCCAAAGCCCAUUAAAGUCUUGGUUUUUCCUCUCCACGGAAGAUCGAAUGUCUUAAUUUACAUUGGAAUCAAUCUACCUGAACAAUAAAAAAUUUCAUGCAGGCUUUUCGGCCUCCAGCCCAAAGAAAAAAGCUCAUUUUCUUUUUCAUUUUACUUUGGUUUUAGUUAAAAAUCAUCCUGUGGGAGUAGAUAAAUGAAACCCACGCGUAAAAUGCAUUCUACUACAGUAACUAAACAAAAACGCAAAUUCACAUAUGAUAUGAUAGCCCUAUAUAUAAAUCUAGACUGGAAUCGAAGUUGUUGCGGUUUUCAUAGAUCAGUCUUUAUUAUAGGCUAUAGCUGUGCUGUGAUGGCAAAGUGGAAAAUAUUGGACUAUGACUUUAAAGUUUAUCUCCUCAAACUCAAAGAGUUUAUCUCCUCGAACUGAGUCAAGUCGAGUUUUCGAUUAAUCGAGUCGAGUCUCGAUUUAAUUUUAUUAAGUUCAAACUUGAGUUUGAAUUCGACGAGUUACCAAUUGAGUCGAGUUUGAACUUUGAACUCGAGCUCAAAAAAAUAAAAAAAGUUUGCCAUUUUUUUUUUCAAUUAAGUACUGAUUAGGGCUGCAAACGAACUGAAUCAAGUCGAGUUUUUGAUUAAUCGAGUCGAGUAUCGACUUAAUUUUAUUAAAUUCAAACUCGAGUUUGAGUUCGACGAGUUACCAAUUGAGUCGUGUUUCGAACUCGAGCUAAAAAAAAAAAUUAUUUUUUUAAAAAAUAAAUAAAAUAAUAUUUUUUCUUAAUAAAUAAUAAAAUAUUAUGAAUAUAUAUGUAAUUUUAUUAAUAAAUAUAAAAAAUAAAAAAAAUAUAUAUAUAUAUACUCAAGUUUUGAAGUUGACUCUUGAGUUAACGAGUUUAAUAUUUUGAAUUCGAGCUCGAGUCGAGCCGCUCACUAGGAUCUCUGUCCGUUUGCUACGUUAGUACUAACGAUUAAGAAAAACGGAAUAUGUGGUUUCAGCUUAAUAUAUGAAGCUUCAUCAUAUGAUGGUAUAGAGAGAGACAGAGAGAGCUCCAAAAAAACAAGAUAUAAAUAAAUAGUAAUUUGCAAAGAAUAAAGGGGAAUGUAUUAGAAAGUUUUUUUAGUACGUAAUAGCGACACGCAACCAAACAAGCUCAGAAAUUUCUCCCCACCCACCCGAUGCAAUAACAAAUCAAACGACGGAAGAAGAAAAAUACUUACUGUCUACUACUAAUAUACUCCAUCUAUUCAGAAAAGCAUUUGCAGGGCCAGUUUAAGUUUCGCGUUUACUUUUACUUUUGGAAGCUUCUUAUAAUUUAUUAUUAAAUUAAUACUAGCUAGCUUAUUAUUAGUAAGCCUUUCUUUCCUCCUCAAUUAAUUUACUUGUAACUUUCUCAGAAAAAAAAAUAAAGGAAAUAAAUUAUUGUCUCCAGAAGGCAUUUCAUUUCUUCGCUAGGAGAAUCAAUCACUAGCAGCAAUCGAUCAAAGUCCCAGUGUGCCAAGACCAACUCAAAUGCAGCUACCCCACAACCUUAAAUUUUGUAUGGUCCAGCAGCAAGAAUCAAGCAGCCGCCUUCGUUUCGUUUAUAAGCAUAGUCUGUGCACAAUUCCUCUGAAUUUCUGAGAAUAUUACGAGACAUUUCAAAACCAAGAAUGGGUGGAUGGUGUAACACAUCAAAAUUAUUUUUUCUUCUUCAAAAAAAAAAAAGGGAAAGGAAAACUUCCAAUUCUUGGAUAACGAAGACUUGCAUGCACGAGUUGACUGAUUUCUUUCGCGGCAGCUUCAUUUAGGCUCCCGCAACAUUCUAAUGAUUUUAUAGUACUCCAAGCAACUUGAACAAGGAAAAAAUCCAUUCUUUGCCAGUACCAUUUCUGCAAUCAAUACCUGAAAUAUGCUUGUAUCCAAACUAUCAUUUCUUUUCCUCUUCCUUCUGCACUUCUAUUUCACAACCAUCUCUGCCAGUCAUAUCCCAGUUCUUGAUAACUUAGCCAUUUCCAGCGGUUCUUCUGGCAUCUUAACUGCAUCCAAUGGCCGCGUUUGGGUUGGAGAUACCGGUUCCAAAUCUUCCACGUUGCUGCAAUUGAGUGGCAAAUCAACCAAGUCAAGAGUCAACCACCAUCCAGCUGCCUCCGUGGAUGCUGUCCCCUACCUGACCGCACGCAUAUCUCAUCACCACUUCACCUACACAUUCCCCGUCAAGCCUGGCCAGAAAAUCAUCCGUCUGCACUUCAACCCUGUUUCAUACAAGAAUUUCAAGAAGUCUAGAGCUUUUUUUUCCGUCAAAGCCGGUCCUUACACCCUUCUCAGCAACUUCAAUGGUUCCCUUGCUGCUGGUGCUUCAGGGGCUGGGCAUUUUACUAGAGAAUUCUGUGUCAAUAUAGAGGAAGAUGAACUAUUGAGCAUAACGUUCUCCCCAGAUCAAGGAAACGAAGGUUCUUCAGAUGACCGAUAUGCAUUUGUCAACGGUAUUGAGAUUGUCUGCAUGCCUGCUGGUCUUUAUUUCACCCCGGAUGAUGGCCUGGGACCCUUUGUCGUUGGCCAGAAAUACAGAUUCUUCAUCGACAACAGCACCGCACUUGAGAUGAUUCAGCGGUUAAACAUUGGCGGAAACUCCAUUGCAUCUGUUGAAGAUGGAGGCAUGUUCCGGUCAUGGGAUGAAGACCUCAAUCACUUGCCACAAAACGGAAGCCUUGUAAUUAAAAGGGUCAUUCCAAUCAAGUAUACGCGGGCACCAUCGUAUAUAGCACCAAAGAAAGUCUAUCAAACUGCCAGGUCAAUGGUUCCACAUACGAAUUUGAGAAGGCGCAAUCUUAUGUGGAAAAUACCAGUGGAUUUGGGAUUUAGAUACUUGAUUAGGCUCCAUUUCUCAGAGCUUGAGUUGGGGAUAACGCAGUGCGGUGAGAGAGAGUUCAGGAUUAUCAUAAAUAAUCAAGUCGCUGAAGAUAAUGCUGAUGUCAUCAAAUGGGGUGCUGAACAUGGAGUUGCAGUGUACAGGGACUAUGUUGUGCUGAUGGAGGGAGAUAGGAUGGAAGGUAAGCGUUAUCUAAACAUCACCUUCCAGCCAAAAUUGGUGUUAAGCGGUAAAGAAACAGAUGGGAUCCUCAAUGGGAUGGAAAUAUUCAAGUUGAGCAACCCUGAUAACAAUCUUGCAAGCAUGAGGACCAUAGAAUUUGUACGGAGUUCCAGAUCUCAGAAACAAGAGGACAAAAAGAUACUGUCUUUUGGCCGUAAGAAUGCAGUUGCAACGGCGCUGACUGUCAUAAUCACUUUGUUGAAUGUCACUGUGUAUUAUAUCAGGCGGCUUUCAGAAACUAGUGCCAGGAACCUACGUUCGUCAUCCUCAGAAAAAUUUUGCCGCCUAUUUUCAAUUCAUGAGAUCCGAUCAGCAACCAACGAUUUCAGUCAUGAAUUCCUCAUUGGCAGUGGUGGAUAUGGUAGAGUGUAUAAGGGAAGCAUUGAUGGAGGAGCUACAACCGUUGCAAUUAAGCGAUUGAAAUCAGAGUCUAGGCAAGGCGAAAAGGAGUUUUGGACAGAGAUAAAGAUGCUAUCCAGGCUCCGCCAUGAGCACCUUGUCCCUCUGAUUGGUUACUGCAAUGAAGGUCAAGAGAUGAUACUGGUAUACGAGUAUAUGCCAAAAGGAACAGUUGCUGAUCAUCUUUACAAGAUUGGUAGGCAUGGUGGUUGUGCUCCUCCUCUCUCUUGGGAACAGCGGCUUAAGAUCUGUAUUGGUGCUGCACGUGGUUUGUACUUUCUUCACACCUCUCGACAGAGGGUAAUCCACCGGGAUGUGAAGAGCUCGAACAUUCUGCUGGACGAGAAUUGGGUGGCUAAGAUUUCAGACUUCGGCCUGUCAAAGAUGGGAGCACCUAACGAGUCAAUUACACAUAUGAGUACCAAUGUCAAAGGGACAUUUGGCUAUUUAGAUCCAGAGUAUUUCUUGACUCGCAAAUUGACACGAAAAUCUGACGUGUAUGCUUUUGGAGUGGUGCUGUUUGAAGUGCUGUCUGGAAGGCCAGCUGUGGACUUACGACUUGAAGAGGAGCAACACAGCUUAGCUGCGUGGGCAAGAUACUGCAUAAGAAAGGGAAAAGUCGAUAACCUCAUCGACCGCAAUCUGAUAGGACAAAUCUCCCCAGCUUGCUUAAAGGUGUUUGUUGGAAUAGCAGGGAGGUGCGUGGAUACGCAUCCACAUGAACGGCCUGCUAUGGCUGACGUUGUCAUUCCCCUUGAGUUAGCAUUGGUGCUGCAACAGAGCCCAGGUUCCACAGAACAGGCAGAAGAAGACGAUGAUAUCAACAACGUUGCAAGAAGUUCCAGUGAACAAAGUGAUGGUGUUUUCUCAUUGGAUGAAUUAUCUGUUAACCCCUCCAAUGGAGGAAUGGAGCAGAACGUCUCCAAAGAGCUUUCAGGAGCUGCUCCUGGAACAAAAGAAACUUAUGUUCUCAAGAAUUCAAAGAAGGAUAACAGUUCCAACAAUGCAACAUCAUCAAGAUGGUGGUGGGAUCCAUUUGGGCUUGUGCCAAGAAGUCCAUCAAAAACGAAAGCUUCAGCACUACAUGAAGGGCUCCGCCAAUUCCACAUCCAAGAGAUACGAAAAGCCACCAAUAAUUUCCAGAACAGUUUCAUCGUUGGCUUUGGAGGCUUGGACAGUGUGUACAAGGGCCUUGUGGAUGAUAUCCCAAGAAUUGUGGCGGUCAGACGAUCAAGCAGUAGAGAAUCAAGACUUUCGAUGGCACGUGAAUUGCAAUCAAAGAUGGAAAUGGUCCCUUCACUAAGACAUGCUCAUGUCGUAACUCUGAUCGGUUAUUGCAAUGAUGAACCUGAACUGAUGCUUGUGUAUGAGUACAUGGCCAAUGGAAGCCUCCAUGAUCAUUUAUGUGACCCUAACAAGGAUCCACUCCCAUGGAAGCGGAGACUUCAAAUCUGCAUUGGCGCAGCACGAGGAUUGUCCCAUCUCCAGUCCACUGUUAAACUAACGAAUCUCCACCGCAACUUGAAGUCAACCAACAUUUUGUUAGACGAGAACUGGGUGGCCAAGGUUUCAGACUUUGGGUUAUCCCGAAGAAGAGGUGUCAGUGGUGCGCAUACAAUUGUUAGAGGUGACUUGGGUUCUCUGGACUCAGACUAUAUACUGGAUGACAGAUUAACAGAAAAAUCUUACGUAUUCUCAUUUGGCUUGCUACUGUUUGAGGUACUCUGUGCCACUAAAGAAUCAACUCAUUGGUUGGAUGAGGAUCAUGUAAGUCUGGCUCAGUGGAUAAAAUCAGGCAUAAGAAACAACCUCUCUGGCAGCAACAUUGACCCAUACCUAGCUGGUAAAAUAGCACCUGAAUGCUGUAGGAUAUUUGCAGAAACAGCCAUUAAAUGUCUGCUUGAUAAGGGUUCUGAACGACCAUCAAUGAAUGACAUAGUGGCAAGUCUUGAGGCUGCGCUUAAGCUGCAAGAAGCGUCAGACAAUGAUGAGGGUGUUUAAGUGCAAAGUAGCUGACAUGAUAAUGCAGUUCAGUUUUGUAUGAUGUUUACCAAUAAUGUUCACUUCAUUCUGUAAUUAUGUGUGCUAUUUAAUGCUAAUUAAGCUUGUUGUACGGAAAUUAUACGAUAGAUGGGAUGGUUACAAACAUCUGGGCAGCUUAUUUUGAAGCAUCAAGUUUAACUGGCUAACAUGCCUGGUUAGAACUCGGCAGAAGAUAGUUUAGAAAAAUAAAAAGGCCAUGUGAAUUCUAUUCUAUUGGAUCGAGGAAUUUGAUGAAAGAUUUGAAUUCAAAUCGCUUUAAUUGUUUGGAUUGCUUAAUAGGCAUUUGAGUUUAUAACACACCAACUAUUAAAAUAUAUUUUAAAUACUAGAAUAAUUGAUAAUUUAUAAAUCCAAAUACCUCCUAAAUAUAAUGUAAACAAGUAGAGAAAUUUGAGAGAAUUUCUUAAAUUCUUCGUUAGAUCCCCCAAUCGAAACGCAGCCUUGUGCUAGUUGAAUUAUUUGCAUUACACGCAGUGAUCUGGGAGAUGCAAACUUGCGGAGUCCAUACUUUCAGUGCACAAAACCGGGACGAUAUUCAGAAUUACAAUUCACCUAAAGACUGGAAAAUACUCCCCCAAUGAAAUAGCCUUCUCGGCUUGAUUUGUCCAAACGUACGUCUUCGAGCUAUCCCGCACGCUUGCAGCGAUUGUAGGCUGUACAUGGUCUAUUAUUCAUAUUAACUGGCACGAUGCAAUUAGCAUACUGAGCUGCAUUGCAAACUGCCGGCCGCCGAAGAGCGCCGUAGGAAAUUGCCUGUCCUUGUUGGAGCAGCAACCUGCCACCUGCAGAAUAGUGCCAGAGAGACUCCCAAUCCUCCUCAUUUCCCCGGCUGCCGAAGAAGCAGUCUGCAAAAGCGCCAUUGCACGACACUCGUGCAUUGUUGAGCAUAUAAAAAGAAGCUGAAGCUCCUCCCAAGUCUUCUCCGAGGCUGAGCAACAAAACGAGGGAAAAUAAAACUGCUGUAUCUCUUUAAUCCCAUUGCAGCAGUGUAUGUAUGCUAGUAUUUUCUUGUGAAGCUUCUGUCUGAUGAUCUCGUGGUGAUAUAGGAUUAGACCUGUAAAAGGGGUCCAGGAAGGUCGCUGACUACCACAGUGAGUAAUACCAUUGAGCCACUUGAUUGCGGACAAAUAAUACUGCAACUAUGCAGGCAUUCUUAUUUGUUGUUUUGUCCCUAUGCUGUUACACUUAAACUGGCUAAGAAUCCUUUCCUUAUUAGUAUAUUUUGUGCUCCUUUAGGAGAAUUAAGAAAGCUUAUAGUGUCGGCUAGCGAACCCUUUUCUUAUGAUUCUACAUUCUGCAUGAUUGAUGUCGGCAGAUGAUUCACUUGAUUCCAAAUUUACCGAAUUUGUCUGUAAGCAAGCUUAAAUAGUAGUAGUACUUGGCUGUCGGCACAUCUGUUUUCUCCAAGAUUUUUUUACGCAACCAUGGAAAUUGGUUGCCAUCAUCAAGAUCAUUUCAUCAAUAUUGAUCUCACAUCAGAGGUUGUAUGGCACAGUUCAUGAGCAACUGCUUCUUUUAAAUUCCGUAUCAAUUAGGAGUACUAUCUUCUUCUCAAAGUCGUGGAGAUAUAGGCGAGCCACAAGAUACAAGGGAUCAGUGAACAUCUUAACUACUAACACCACCAGUGCUAUUAAAAUGUAAAGUUAUGCUGCUAAUCGCUUGCUGACUACAAGCACAAGAAAUAACAACUAUUAGACCAAGUCAUUCCCUUGUCCUUGUGCUUUAACAUUUCAUGUUAAGAAUGCUCCUGCUCAGUCUUGUGACCUUGUGCAUCAUCACAAGUGCUGUUCUAGUAAUUGUAAGCAAUUCAUUGCUGGAAAAAGCAAUUUACAGGGAACAAAGGGGUAUUCAAUUUUCAACUAGUGACUUUAUUGAUCGGUUUAUCUGGAAGACAGAUUGGAAACAGCAUUUGAACUUGUCACGUACUUUCACAGAGUAAAGAUCAGCCACAAAUCACUACACUUGGCUCCUUACUCUUUUAAACCCUGGCCCCAACAACCCCCCGGCCAGGGGGGGGGGAACUUACUGAAUUUCCAGAAUGACAGAAAAGAACAGCUUUCUGUAGCUAAGUUUGUAUUGUGUAACUCCAUGUAUUCUUUUCUGCAAAAAAACCGUCUACCGAAGAAGCCCAUGGGGCUGAAGCACAUAGUCCCAAUCAAACAGGACAGCCUGGAGGAGGUCUAACCCAAUCCAUAUAUGCAAGAUCAGAUUGGAAUGCAAACAACACUAUAAUUUCAUAUGUCUUUAAACAGUUUUCCAACAUCACACGACGGAAUAGACAAACUCUCACUUAAGAAAAGAGGAAAAUAUUCAAUCAUAUAAGCACAAGACAUGGAAAAUGCGUAGGCUCAUCUAAAAGAGGAAAUAAUCCAGAAGUCUUUUUCAAAAAAUUUUUUUAAAAUUUUGGGUAGAAGUAAUCACAAGUCAUUACUGAAUAUCAAAAGGUGCUGCGUAACUUUAAGUUGCCCUCAAAAUCCAUGGUAAACCUCAACUGAAGAUUAAACCCCCAUCCUCAUCAUCAUCGUUAUCAUGAUCCUCAUCCCGGCUGAACUCUGAGUAUUCCUCCUCAAGUGAUGAAGCAUUGAAGAGUUCACCAGCUUUGCUAUCAUUGUUAGUUGGCAUUUUUACUGAACUAUGGGGGUUCCCUUUAUUCAUCUGUUUCGCAUUGAAUCACAAUAACCACAACAAAUUAGCACAGCAGUUACAUCAAUGUCCUGAAACUAAAAACAAUUAGCAUUAAGCAGCACACUUGCAAAUUAAUGGAGAAUCUGAAUCAACUAAUUCAAUGACAAGUCGAACUGCAUGCAAUCCAGAUUUUGUGCAUUAUCUUACCGUCCGUAGGAGAGUUCUCCUCUCUCUCUCCCUAGCAUUCUUGAUCGCCUAUCACCAAAUAAAAAGAUAAUUAGCUUCUAAAGGAACAAAAUCCCAAGUCCAAACCUCCAGCAUUACGGAGGGAAAAAUUCUCUGCUCAGUAAACAAACCUCCUCUAGUGUCUUCUGCUCAGUCUCCUUUUCUGAGAGGUCUCUGCAAUUUACAGAAAAUCAUAAGUUCCUGAAAAAACCCGUAAUUGCUUUCCUCAAACACAUAGUCACAUAAGCUUAUACACAAUCCUUUGGGUGUAACAUCUGACAUGUAUCUUUUUACCUCCCAACUAUAUGCCCAACCCGACAUGAGCACUUUGCGCAUACUUUAUUCUCCUUAGCACAAGCUGGUAAUAUUACAAAGCAUUUCAGCCAAGCAAUUAAGAAUCAAAUAUUACUCAACACACUACGACAAACAUUUAAACGAAUCAGUAGAAAUGCGAACAAAGAAUUUUGAACCAAACAGAAAGGUUUAACUAACCAUUACAGAGAUUAUGGUGAGCUUGUCGAACAGCCCGCUUGGAACAUUUCUGACUGAAUCCCAAAGAAUAAGAUUAUAAGUAAAUGAAUCCCGUAGCCAAAAUUGAGUUGCGCAUCAAUAAUUCAAUACCAAUCUUUUAGUACUACAUAAAUUUAAAGAAAAGAGAAAAGAGACCAGGUAAGUAAGUACCAUUUAGCGGGCUCAGUGAGGGGUUUGUAUUUGCCGUACUUGCGCUUCCAUUCAAUCUGUUCUUUACAUCUCUGGCAUACUCCGGUUACCUCUGAAUAUGGCCGGAACUUCCCUCCUAAUUCCUGCCAUCAUUAGUCAUAGCAAUACCAUUACUUUUUUUUCUUUUCCCAAACGAAAAUAAAGAGGGGAAAACUUGUAGAGAAGGCGGUGAACAUUACGGUUUCGUUGAUUUUAACACCAGCCUUGGGCUUCCAGGCAAAUUGAUUUUGGUGCUUUGGGGGACCUUUUCUGUUGCUCAUCUUUUGUCUCGCCUCUUUCGCCGCCGACAAAAGUUUCUUGGUUCCCCGGUUAAAAACCUAUCGAGCGGUUGUGAAUCCGUAAUUUGUUUAACUACAAUAAACCCCCAGUCAUGAAAACCUCAUUUCACUUUGACCCCUAACUUUACUUUGUUGCAGUCUAUCCAUCUUUAAGACAGAAAUACCCCUUCGAACAUUUGAUGGCAAGUGCGAUUUUUUUUUUUUUUGCUAGCAAUGAUAAUAGUUUGUAUAAUUUAUUCUAACUAAUCUGAGGGGAGGAGAAGGGAGAAGGGAGAAGCCACAAAUAGUGGCUGGUGAGAGGCCAUGAUCGAAUCCUUGGUAUUUCACCUUCACCAAAACUUAAAAAGACGUCUUAGUGACCAACACCCAAAGAGACUGUUAGAUGGCAAGUGCGAAUUGGACCUUUUAAUUUGCAAUUCAAGCCUUAAACCUUUAUGAAAACGCAUAUUUUUUUUGUCUCUUUAUAUGUGAAAAAUCUCAAGCCCCAAACCUCUCUAUCACCCUCUCACCCCCAUUUCCUCACUUCCCUACCACCCAACUCAAGGUACCAUUGCUCGAUGCAUCUGCAGUCUUUAUGGAGGAAGAAACUGAAUUUCCUGCCACGUCUCCCUCAAGGAUGAGGAACAAAAUGAGGAAAAGAAGACUAGUAUUCGCCUUGAAGCUGAAGCUCAUGAUUUCCCUUAACCAGCUCAAAUUGACAAGCGAAUGACAAAAAAGAAAAAGAAACUUUUUUGAGCGAUUCAAAGCAAUAUUAAUAAUUUCAGGUUGUUCGAAAGCUAAUACGGAUAAUGCGCGUCCUCUAUGCUUCCAUGACGCCUAUGCAUUGAUGCGUCUGUAACUAAAUAGCUCCAGAUUUAGCAUUACAUUCGAGAAAUUCAAAUCUUCUUUACGUCAUAAACUGGGGAUCUUUGUCUGCAUCUUAAGAAUGGCUUUGAAGUGUCACUGCUGUUACACUGAAAGUUGUUCAGAGGAGCGCACCAUAAACCUUGUCUGGUGUCUUUGCAUCCCUACUGCAGACCCAAACGGUAAAUGGGGCCAUACCCAAUAAUCAGGUGCUUGAGCGAAACAAAACUGCUCGCUUAACGACUGGACUUCUCUCUGGCGAUUGAUUGCUCACGGGAUAGUAUUUAGGUCGACAGCUUAGAAGCAACUGACAAUUGACAAACAACCACAACCCAAGAUAUCAUGAAACAAAAUUCUUUCAUUUAAGCUAGUGAUUUUUUCCAAGUACAUCCAGUACAGGAGUAUACAAAUUCAUCAGAAGAAUUAUAUGAUCACAUCGUCAAAGUUAUUUGACAAAAUUGGCAACCGUGCACUUUCAGUUUUAAGGUUGCCAGGUCUGUUGCAGGUAAUACACGCUUCCACCUUCCCUUGCAUUGUCCCUUCCCAGAGUAAGCAUUCCUCCAAUU
RNAcentral lists this long non-coding RNA (52515 nucleotides) under Coffea arabica (coffee). Its description in RNAcentral is "long non-coding RNA (CARA_LNC004841)". The record is from RNAcentral. Lineage: Eukaryota; Viridiplantae; Streptophyta; Magnoliopsida; Gentianales; Rubiaceae.